RNAcentral lists this long non-coding RNA (46768 nucleotides) under Triticum aestivum (bread wheat). RNAcentral's name for it is "long non-coding RNA (TAES_LNC009528)". The record is from RNAcentral. Lineage: Eukaryota; Viridiplantae; Streptophyta; Magnoliopsida; Poales; Poaceae.
AAAGGUACAAAGUAAUUUUUUUAGUAUAUAUCAUCACACAAUCAUAGUACAACCAGCACACACAAGCCAUCAUCCUCCGUACAAGCCAGAAAAGUAAAUAAGAACAAUCACAAGAUUUACAUGGGCAUCAUGCCCUAAUCUUGAUUGAUCUUGACAUUAUAUAGCAUGGGAUGACUUAAUGGUGGUGGGUUACAACACACCACUUAUUUAAUCCAACCGGCAAUAUAAGUAAUGACGAUACUAUGUCUGGCAUGGUUGAUGUACCCGAACAUCUCAUGCCAACAAUUACUCUUGGACGUUUGCUUCACCAUUUCCUUUUUCUGCUUGAGUCCCAAGUGGUGGUUUUGGUUGUGCAUUCGGGUCAGGCAGUGGUUGUGGAUUCGGGUCUGGUAAUGGUUGUGGGUUUGGAUCAGGUUGCGGUCCUGGUAAUGGCUGAGGGUUUGGGUUUGGCUGUGGGUCCGGCAAUGGCUUCGGGUUUGGGUCUGGUAAUGGUUGCGGGUUUGGAUGAGGUUGUGGUCCUGGUAAUGGCUGAGGGUUUGGGUUUGGCUGUGGGUUCGGCAAUGGUAUCGGGUUUGGGUCUGGUAAUGGUUCUGGGUUUGGAUCAGGCUGUGGUCCUGGUAAUGGCUGAGGGUUUGGGUUUGGUUGUGGGUCCGGCAAUGGUUUUGGGUUUGGGUCUGGUAAUGGUUGUGGAUUUCGAUCAGGCUGCGGUCUUGGUAAUGGUUGAGGGUUUGGUUUUGCUCGUGGGUCUGGUAGUGGCCGCGGCUUUGUGUUUGGCUGUGGGUUCAUCAACUGUUGCAGGUUUUGUCCUGGCAAUAGUUGUGGAUUUGGGUCAGGNNNNNNNNNNGUUGUGGGUUUGGAUCAGGUUGCGGCCCUGGUAGUGGCUUAGGGUUUGGGUUUGGCUGUGGGUCCGGCAAUGGUUUUGGGUUUGGGUCUGGUAAUGGUUGUGGAUUUCGAUCAGGCUGCGGUCUUGGUAAUGGUUGAGGGUUUGGUUUUGCUCGUGGGUCUGGUAGUGGCCGCGGCUUUGUGUUUGGCUGUGGGUUCAUCAACUGUUGCAGGUUUUGUCCUGGCAAUAGUUGUGGAUUUGGGUCAGGGUGUGGUCCUGGUAAUGGUUGAGCGUUUGGAUCAGGUUGUGGAUCUAGCAGUGGUUGUGGGUUUGUAUGAGGUUUAGGCUCGGGUAGCGGUUGCGGCUUUGGGUCUGGUUGUGGUCCCGGCAAUGGUUGAGGGUUUGGAUCUGGCUGUUUUCCUGGUAGUGGUUCUGGAUUUGGGUUCGCCCGUGGGCCGUACUGAGGGUCUCUAGUGAUCAGGUUGUGCCUCCCGGCAGCAAGAGCAAACACUGGAAGAAGCAUAAGCAGCAACGGUGCUACGAGAAGAGAAGACGCGGAUGGGCGCUUCCUCAUCGUCAUGGCUAAGCUUGUGUUGGUACGAACUUGCAAGUGCGUGCGUCUCGAUCUUCCUAUUUAUAAGCGAAUUCAGCCAUCAAGGCUGGACAAGCAUGUACGUUGUUUACUCCAACUCUGAUUGGGCUUGUUAGCUUUGCCUUUUUGAAGAUGCGGGACUGCACGCCUCCGCUUAGUGCUCUAACCAGCAGCUAGCCACAAUAAAAAGUCAUUUAGAAAAGUUUUGAGUUAUCAUCAUAAAGAAAAAGUUUGUGUAGUUUUCGUCUGGAUAGAUGUGACAUUUUUCAGUUGAUCGUAGGAGAGCAACAUGCAGAAGCAUACAGUUGCCCAAGUUGUGAACAACCUGAUCACUUUCAGUAAUUCUGUUGAAUUCAUAGCAGGGUAGCAGAUGGCUGUGAGCAUGGAAUUUGUAAAUCAUGUAAUUUUUUUUAAAAUAAGAAAAAUCAUGUAAACACGUAUACAUGUUAUUUGCGUGUCCAAGAAGUUUAAUUAAGCCAUACACAGAUUUGUAGGCUACAUAAAAAAAAUCCAGCCCAAAUGCAAUAGAAAUAAGCCUAUUUUAAAUUAUGUAUUUGUCGUUUUCCCCUUUGUGUAGACUAUAUAUGAUUUUUUUUCAAAUAUAUUUUGUUGAAAUUUUGUAUGAACACACUAUACCUUUUUUAUUGAAAAUUUUGAGGUGCAAGAAUAAAGUUCUUGAUAAAAAAUAAAGAAGCCUGUACGAUGUAUUGUUGUACACAGGAAUAUCGUGGAUUCUAAACUUGAGGUUUGCAUGGAUGGAUUUUUUUUACGGAAUCUAGUUUAAAUGAGUCCUAUUGUUUCCCGUAUGAAUUCCUAUUCUAUGACUCAAACAACACAUACAGAAAAAUUUUCUAAGGAUUAGAUUCCUCCAAAAUUCUAUUAAAAGUUUAAAACCCCUUUGAAUCAAAGAAGCCUAUUCCCCCCAAAAUAAAGAAAAGAAUCAAAUGAGCUCGGGUGAACAGUAAAAUCAAAACUAAAUCAAUUUUUUUUUAAAAAAAUCCAAUUUUUUUUGGGAGAAAAAGUUCUAAGUGCUUGCAAAAAUUCGCCAUGAAAUCACAUUUCUAGAAGGCGUGGCAAAAAAAAAAAACAAAAUCAGUACUCUGAAAAAGCUACUUUCAAAAGCAUUUUGGAGCACUGAAUUUGUUUUUUUUGCCACGCUUUACAGGAAUGUGAUUUCAUGAUGAAUUUUUGCAAGCACUUAAAACUUUUGUUAAUGUUUCUCCCAAAAAAAAUUGGGAAUUUUUUGAAUUUUUUUUGAAUUUUUUUCGAUUUUACUGUUCACCAAGCUCAAAUGAGCUCGGGAGCAGAAAGGCACUUUCGAUCAAAGAAGCCUAUUUCGCAGCAAAGCUAGUGGCUGUCCUAUCGGACAGUGAUGCACCUUUAAGUACGCGGUUUCUAAUAAUCACGAUCAGUGCACGCCGUGCACAGUGCACUCAUUUCGGUUGUAGAUGUAACUUUCACAUUUCAUACACCAAUCACGAUCAGUUGCUUGUUGGCACGGGCGGAGCUCCGUAGGGGCAGACCUGGGCCAUGGCCCGCCCAGGAAUUUGACAAAAAAAGUUUUUACUACUAGUCGUCUUAGCCCAGCCCACUAGCCCACGCACGCACUGAAUAUCCCCCCAUCGGCCAUCGUCUCCUCGUCUCGCGCACGCUGCACGCACAGGCACACUCACGCCUUCCCCAAUUCCCCAUCCUCUCAGUCCCAGACUCAUGUAGGUUGUAGCCACGCCGCCGACGACUACCGACGUGGACAGGGAACACGUCCACACGGUCCACCGGAGCGCGCCGCCCGCCAUCUCUCGGAGCAACCGCCAUGGCAACGCCCGCCGGGAUCUCGCCUCGCCCCUGCCCUGCUCCCUCCUGCCGCCCAUCAUCCGCACACUUACANNNNNNNNNNNNNNNNNNNNNNNNNNNNNNNNNNNNNNNNNNNNNNNNNNNNNNNNNNNNNNNNNNNNNNNNNNNNNNNNNNNNNNNNNNNNNNNNNNNNNNNNNNNNNNNNNNNNNNNNNNNNNNNNNNNNNGCAAUAACCUGAUUUUGUUCAUUUCCAUACACCCAGUGAUCAGUCCUGCUAGUGAUAAAUAAUAGUCUGAUGAUCUGAUCUUACGCAAAUUUUAACAUAGGUAGUCGGGAAAGGAAAAUAAGACUCAGAGAAGAAGAAGAUCACUGCACAAUAAGAUGGAAGAUGAGAAUCUGGCUAAUAACUUGUUAGUUCACAUAGAUGGUGGAAUUCUAGAAAACUACAGCCACGAAGAUGUCAUUGCAGAUUUUAUAAACAAGAAGAUCGGAGAGUUGAUUGUAUGUGAGUAGGUCCAUGUCUAAUGUCUCUGACACUUUUGUAUUAUCUAACUCAAUAGUGAAACAUGGUUGAACUGUACUUUGGUACAUAUAUAUAUUAUAUAUAUACAUAUCUGCUAGCUCAAUCUUGUGACCUGGGUGCUUGUAAUAUGUCCUUAUGGGUAAGAAUUUAGAAAAAAUUGUGUUCUUCUUCAGUCUGGCCCGCCCAACUUUUUCGUUCAAGCUCCGCCACUGCUUGUUGGUGCACAUCCAAUGCUCUAGAAUAAAACAAAAAGUACUCCUAUAUACAAAACGUACUUUACCUAACCUACCGAUUGAAUCGUAUACAUAGAUGAAAAAGAAAAGACAUCCGUAGAGUCCCAAGUUACCUACCGAUUGAAUCGUAUGUAUAGAUGAAAAAGAAAAGACAUCCAUAGAGUACCAAGUUACCUACCGAUUGAAUCAUACAUAUAGACGAAAAAGAAAAGACAUGCAUAGAGUACCAAGUUAAAGACGAUAUGACCUCACAACUAGAUUGGGUUGGGUGAGUGGAGUGCCACUUUAAUCCUUGUCUGGAGCACGCGCUAUGAUAUUUCUUCAGAGGCGCUGAAGUGGGGAACAAGACUGAUAGAACAAACAACAAGUGAGAUAUUUUGAGCUUCACUAGGUUGGAGGCCUGGUGUGCUCAGAAUUUAUCAGGGUGUAUUCAGGUUGCAGCACUGCUGCCAAGGCAUUUCUCCAGCUUCGCUCUGAAGAUCUUUUGCUUUGCUUUGUUCCUCUGUUUGUUUGUAAUGAAGUUCCCGUGUUUUGUGAUGGUUGCAAGUUCCCUGUAGUCUUUAUAUAUUUGGCUCAAGGGUGCCUGAAAAUUUCAUAGUUAUGUUUAAAAAAAUGCCGUAGUUGUUAGUUUUUGGACCAUCUAUCUAAAUCUAUCAAAGACCCUGUUGCCCGAGCUAGCCAAUCAAAGUUGGGCCAUUUGCAUCAAGCUAGGUAGGAUGCGUCGCCGGAAAACCCAAAUCGCUAAUUAAGGAGUACUCUUUGCAAAGGUCACUCCUACCAUGUCGCAACUAGUGAGUUUUCCUUUUUUUGUCGAUUCGUUUAUUCAACACGUUUUAUCGGUUAAAACAUGCAUUCACAUCUUGAAUCGUUUUCUCCAUUGUAUUCCUCGCACUGAGAUCUUGAAAAUUAGAUCCGAUCUGAUAGGUUUUGAUGAACGUUUUACUUUACGAAAAAUACCGAACAAAAAACAAACCGGGAGCACAUUUUUUCCUUUCUGAAAAGGGCACAAUCGUGCCUCUCGUGUCGUUACAAAUCUUAUCUCUGUUCGUCGUUACAAAUCCUAUGAAUUGCUAUUCUAUCUUCACAACAUCCUAUACUCCCCUUGUGUCGUUACAAAUCUUAUCUCUGUUCGUCGUUUUUGCAUUGACAAUUCAGUAACAAUUGAGUUUUACCCCCUUGACUUUGUUGUGAAGGAUCUAGCCACUCGGACUCCUUAUGAGCCGCAGUAGCUACGGCCAGCUUUACUCCUUCUCCGGCGGCACCACCAACCACCAGGCGGUGCUCUCUAUGGACGUUGGAAACUUGUGGCAUCAGCGAUUAGGGCACCCCAGUGCUGCCUCCCUUUCCCGUUUGGCGAGCAGUUUUUAACCAAAUUGUAAUAAGCCAGUCCACCCCAUGGUACUUGUCAUGCAUGUCAAUUAGGCCACCAUGCUCUCCUUCCUUUUUCCAGAUUCUCUGUCAUUUACUACUUUUCCUUUUCAACUAGUGCACUAUGAUAUAUGAACCUCAACAAUUGCGAGUUUUUCCGGCUUCAAAUAUUAUUUGUUUGUCAUAGACGACUUCACUCACUUCCCUUGGAGCUUCCCGCUACACCAUAAGCCCCAUGCCGCUGCCACCCUUGAACGCUUUUACCAGUACGUGCUCAUACAAUUCCGUGUUUACAUACAGUGUGUCCAAUGUGAUAAUGGGGGCGACUUCCUCAACGUUCACCUAUGCACUUUCUGUUGGGGAACGUUGCAGAAAACAAAAAUUUUCCUACGGUUUCACCAAGAUCCAUCUAGGACUUCAUCUAGCAACGAGUAAUCGGAUUGCAUCUACGUACCUUGUAGAUCGCGAGUGGAAGCGUUCAAAGAACGGGGAUGAGGGAGUCGUACUCGACGUGAUCCAAAUCACCGGAGAUCCUAGCGCCGAACGGACGACACCUCCGCGUUCAACACACGUACGGUCAGCGUAACGUCUCCUUCCUCUUGAUCCAGCAAGGGGCAAGGAGAGGUUGAGGAAGAUGGCUCCAGCAGCAGCACGACGGCGUGGUGGUGAUGGAGCUGCAGUACUCCGGCAGGGCUUCGCCAAGCUCUAUGGAGGAGGAGGAUGUGUUGGAGAGGGAGAGGGAGGCACCAAAGGCAAAGGUAAGAGGUCCUCCAUCCUCCCCACUAUAUAUAGGGGGGCCUAGGGGGGGACGCCGGCCCUAGGAGAUGCAAUCUCCUAGGGGGGCGGCGGCCAAGGGGUGGGGGACUUGCCCCCCAAGCAAGGGGGCGUCCCCCCCCUUUAGGGUUUCCCCCACCCUAGGCGCAUGGGCCCUAGGGGAAGUGGCGCCCCAGCCCACUUUGGGCUGGAUCCCUUCCCACUUCAGCCCAUGGGGCCCUCCGGGAUAGGUGGCCCCACCCGGUGGACCCCCGGGACCCUUCCGGUGGUCCCGGUACAAUACCGGUGACCCCGAAACUUGUCCCGAUAGCCGAAAUAGCACUUCCUAUAUAUAAUUAUUUACCUCCGGACCAUUCCGGAACUCCUCGUGAUGUCCGGGAUCUCAUCCGGGACCCCGAACAACAUCCGGGUUACUGCAUAUACAUAUCCCUAUAACCCUAGCGUCACCGAACCUUAAGUGUGUAGACCCUACGGGUUCGGGAGACAUGUAGACAUGACCGAGAUCGCUCUCCGGUCAAUAAACAAUAGCGGGAUCUGGAUACCCAUGUUGGCUCCCACAUGCUCCUCGAUGAUCUCAUCGGAUGAACCACGAUGUCGAGGAUUCAAGCAACCCCGUAUACAAUUCCCUUCGUCAGUCGGUAUGUUACUUGCCCGAGAUUCGGUCGUCGGUAUCCCAAUACCUCGUUCAAUCUCGUUACCGGCAAGUCACUUUACUCUUACCGUAAUGCAUGAUCCCGUGACCAGACACUUGGUCACUUUGAGCUCAUUAUGAUGAUGCAUUACCGAGUGGGCCCAGUGAUACCUCUUCGUCAUACGGAGUGACAAAUUCCAGUCUUGAUCCGUGUCAACCCAACAGACACUUUCGGAGAUACCCGUAGUAUACCUUUAUAGUCACCCAGUUACUUGUGACGUUUGGUACACCCAAAGCACUCCUACGGUAUCCGGGAGUUACACGAUCUCAUGGUCUAAGGAAAAGAUACUUGACAUUGGAAAACUCUAGCAAAUGAACUAUACGAUCUUGUGCUAUGUUUAGGAUUGGGUCUUGUCCAUCACAUCAUUCUCCUAAUGAUAUGAUCUCGUUAUCAAUGACAUUCAAUGUCCAUAGUCAGGAAACCAUGACUAUCUUUGAUCAACGAGCUAGUCAACUAGAGGCUUACUAGGGACAUGUUGGUGUCUAAGUAUUCACACAUGUAUUACAAUUUCCGGAUAACACAAUUAUAGCAUGAAUAAAAGACAAUUAUCAUGAACAAGGAAAUAUAAUAAUAAUGCUUUUAUUAUUGCCUCUAGGGCAUAUUUCCAACAGUCUCCCACUUGCACUAGAGUCAAUAAUCUAGUUACAUUGUGAUGAAUCGAACACCCAUGGAAUUCUGGUGUUGAUCAUGUUUUGCUCUAGGGAGAGGUUUAGUCAACGGAUCUGCUACAUUCAGGUCCAUAUGUACUUUACAAAUAUCUAUGUCUCCAUCUUGAACAUUUUCACGAAUGGAGUUGAAGCGACGCUUGAUGUGCCUCGUCUUCUUGUGAAAUCUGGGCUCCUUGGCAAGUGCAAUAGCUCCAUGUUGUCACAGAAGAGCUUCAUAGGCCCCGAUGCAUUGGGUAUGACUCCUAGGUCGGUGAUGAACUCCUUCACCCAAAUUGCUUCAUGCGCUGCCUCCGAGGCUGCCAUGUACUCCGCUUCACAUGUAGAUCCCGCCACGACGCUCUUCUUGCAACUGCACCAGCUUACUGCCCUACCAUUCAAAAUAUACACGUAUCCGGUUUGUGACUUAGAGUCAUCCAGAUCUGUGUCGAAGCUAGCAUCGACGUAACCAUUUACGACGAGCUCUUCGUCACCUCCAUAGACGAGAAACAUUUCCUUAGUCCUUUUCAGGUACUUCAGGAUAUUCUUGACCGCUGUCCAGUGUUCCUUGCCGGGAUUACUUUGGUACCUACCUACCAAACUUACGGCUAGGUUUACAUCAGGUCUGGUACACAGCAUGGCAUACAUAAUAGAACCUAUGGCUGAGGCAUAGGGGAUGAUACUCAUCUCUUCUAUAUCUUCUGCCGUGGUCGGACAUUGAGCUGAGCUCAAUUUCAUACCUUGCAACACAGGCAAGAACCCCUUCUUAGACUGAUCCAUAUUGAAUUUCUUCAAUAUCUUAUCAAGGUAUGUGCUUUGUGAAAGACCUAUGAGGCGUCUUGAUCUAUCUCUGUAGAUCUUGAUGCCUAAUAUAUAAGCAGCUUCUCCAAGGUCCUUCAUUGAAAAACUCUUAUUCAAGUAGGCCUUAAUGCUGUCCAAAAGUUCUAUAUCAUUUCCCAUCAAAAGUAUGUCAUCUACAUAUAAUAUGAGAAAUGCUACAGAGCUCCCACUCACUUUCUUGUAAACACAGGCUUCUCCAUAAGUCUGCGUAAACCCAAACGCUUUGAUCAUCUCAUCAAAGCGAAUGUUCCAACUCCGAGAUGCUUGCACCAGCCCAUAAAUCGAGCGUUGGAGCUUGCACACCUUGUCAGCAUACUUAGGAUCGACAAAACCUUACGGCUGCAUCAUAUACCAUUCUUCCUUAAGGAAACCAUUAGGAAUGCCGUUUUGACGUCCAUUUGCCAUAUUUCAUAAUCAUAGAAUGCGGCAAUUGCUAACAUGAUUCGGACGGACUUCAGCUUCGCUACCGGUGAGAAAGUCUCAUCGUAGUCAACCCCUUGAACUUGUCGAUAACCCUUAGCGACAAGCCGAGCUUUAUAGAUGGUCACACUACCAUCCGCGUCUGUCUUCUUCUUAAAGAUCCAUUUAUUUUCUAUGGCUUGCCGCUCUACGGCCAAGUCAGUCAAAGUCCAUACUUCGUUUUCAUACAUGGAUCCUAUCUCGGAUUUCAUGGCUUCCAGCCAUUUGUCAGAAUCCGGGCCCGCCAUCGCUUCUUCAUAGUUUGAAGGUUCACCGUUGUCUAACAACAUGAUUUCCAAGACAGGGUUGCCGUACCAAUCUGGUGCGGAACGUGUCCUUGUGGACCUUCGAAUUUCAGUAGGAGCUUGAUCAGAAGUAUCUUGAUCAUCAUCAUUAACUUCCUCUCUAGUCGGUGCAGGCACCUCAGGAACAUUUUCUUGAGUUGCGCCAUUUUCCGGUUCAAGAGGUAAUACUUCAUCAAGUUCUACUUUCCUCCCAUUUACUUCUUUCGAGAGAAACUCCUUCUCUAGAAAGGAUCCAUUCUUGGCAACAAAGAUCUUGCCUUCGGAUCUGAGGUAGAAGGUAUACCCAAUAGUUUCUUUAGGGUAUCCUAUGAAGACGCAUUUUUCCGACUUGGGUUCGAGCUUUUCAGGUUGAAGUUUCUUGACAUAAGCAUCGCAUACCCAAACUUUUAGAAACGAUAGCUUAGCUUUCUUCCCAAACCAUAAUUCAUACGGUGUCGUCUCAACGGAUUUCGACGGAGCCCUAUUUAAAGUGAAUGCGGGAGUCUCUAAAGCAUAGCCCCAAAAAGAUAGCGGUAAAUCGGUAAGAGACAUCAUAGAUCACACCAUAUCUAAUAGAGUGCGAUUACGACGUUCGGACACACCAUUACGCUGAGGUGUUCCAAGCGGCGUGAGUUGUGAAACUAUUCCAUAUUUUCUUAAGUGUGUGCCAAACUCGUGACUCAAGUAUUCUCCUUCACGAUCUGAUCGCAGGAACUUGAUUUUCCUGUCACGUUGAUUCUCAACCUCACUCUGAAAUUCCUUGAACUUUUCAAAGGUCUCAGACUUGUGUUUCAUUAAGUAGACAUACCCAUAUAUACUCAAGUCAUCAGUGAGGGUGAGAACAUAACGCCACCGUGAGCCUCAACAGUCAUUGGACCGCACACAUCAGUAUGUAUGAUUUCCAAUAAGUUGGUUUCUCGCUCCAUUGUUCCUGAGAACGGAGUCUUGGUCAUUUUACCCAUGAGGCAUGAUUCGCACAUGUCAAAUGAUUCGUAAUCAAGAGACUCUAAAAGUCCAUCAGCAUGGAGCUUCUUCAUGCGUUUGACACCUAUGUGACCAAGGCGGCAGUGCCACAAGUAUGUGGGACUAUCAUUAUCAAUCUUACAUCUUUUGGUACUCACACUAUGAACAUGUGUAGCAUUACGCUCGAGAUUCAUUAAGAAUAAACCAUUCACCAUCGGAGCAUGACCAUAAAACAUAUCUCUCAUAUAAAUAGAACAACCAUUAUUCUCGGAUUUAAAUGAGUAGCCAUCUCGAAUUAAACGAGAUCCUGAUACAAUGUUCAUGCUCAAAGCUAGCACUAAAUAACAAUUAUUAAGGUUUAAAACUAAUCCCGAAGGUAAAUGUAGAGGUAGCGUGCCGACGGCGAUCACAUUGACCUUGGAACCAUUCCCGACGCGCAUCGUCACCUCGUCCUUCGCCAGUCUCCGCUUAUUCCGCAGCUCCUGUUUUGAGUUACAAAUGUGAGCAACCGCACCGGUAUCAAAUACCCAGGAGCUACUACGAGUACUGGUAAGGUACACAUCAAUUACAUGUAUAUCACAUAUACCUUUCGUGAUGCCGGCCUUCUUGUCCGCUAAGUAUUUGGGGCAGUUUCGCUUCCAGUGACCACUUCCCUUGCAAUAAAAGCACUUAGUCUCGGGCUUGGGUCCAUUCUUUGGCUUCUUCCCGGCAGCUUGCUUGCCGGGCGCGGCAACUCCCUUGUCGUCCUUCUUGAAGGCUUUCUUACCCUUGCCCUUCUUGAACUUAGUGGUUUUAUUCACCAUCAACACUUGAUGUUCCUUUUUGACUUCUACCUCAGCUGAUUUCAGCAUUGCAAAUACGUCAGGAAUGGUCUUUUCCAUCCCCUGCAUAUUGAAGUUUAUCACAAAGCUCUUGUAGCUCGGUGGAAGCGACUGAAGGAUUCUGUCAAUGACCGUGUCAUCCGGGAGAUUAACUCCCAGCUGAGUCAAGCGGUUAUGCAACCCAGACAUAAUGAGUAUGUGCUCACUGACAGAACUGUUUUCCUCCAUCUUACAGCUGAAGAACUUGUCGGAGACUUGAUAUCUCUCGACCCGGGCAUGAGCUUGGAAAACCAUUUUCAGCUCUUCGAACAUCUCAUAUGCUCCGUGUCUCUCAAAACGCUUUUGGAGCCCCGGCUCUAAGCUGUAAAGCAUGCCGGACUGAACGAGGGAGUAGUCAUCGGUACGUGCCUGCCAAGCGUUCAUAACGUCUUGUUCUGCAGGGAGAACAGGUGUGUCACCUGGCGGUGCUUGUAGGACAUAAUCUUUCUUGGCAGCUAUGAGGAUGAUCCUCAGGUUUCGGACCCAGUCCGUGUAGUUGCUGCCAUCGUCUUUCAGCUUGGUUUUCUCUAGGAACGCGUUGAAGUUGAGGACUACGUUGGCCAUUUGAUCUACAAGACAUAUUGUAAAUUUUUUAGACUAAGUUCAUGAUAAUUAAGUUCAUCUAAUCAAAUUAUUCAAUGAACUCCCACUUAGAUAGACAUCCCUCCAGUAAUCUAAGUAUAACAUGAUCCGAGUUAACUAGGACGUGUCCGAUCAUCACGUAAGACGGACUAGUCAACAUCGGUGAACAUCUUCAUGUUGAUCGUAUCUUCUAUAUGACUCAUGCUCGACCUUUCGGUCUUCUGUGUUCCGAGGCCAUGUCUGUACAUGCUAGGCUCGUCAAGUCAACCUAAGUGUUUGCAUGUGUAAAUCUGUCUUACACCCGUUGUAUGUGAACGUUGGAAUGAAUCUAACACCCGAUCAUCACGUGGUGCUUCGAAACAACGAACUGUCGCAAUGGUGCACAGUUAGGAGAAACACUUUCUUGAAAUUAUUAUGAGGGAUCAUCUUAUUUACUAUCGUUGUUCUAAGUAAACAAGAUGCAGAAACAUGAUAAACAUCACAUGCAAUCAAAUAGUGACAUGAUAUGGCCAAUAUCACAUAGCUCCUUUGAUCUCCAUCUUGGGGCUCCAUGAUCAUCUUGUCACCAGCAUGACACCAUGAUCUCCAUCAUCAUGAUCUCCAUCACAGUGUCUCCAUGAAGUUGCUCGCCAACUAUUACUUCUACUACUAUGGCUAACACGUUUAGCAAUAAAGUAAAGUAAUUUACAUGGCGUUUCUCAAUGAAACGCAGGUCAUACAAAAAAUAAAGACAACUCCUAUGGCUCCUGCCGGUUGUCAUACUCAUCGACAUGCAAGUCGUGAUUCCUAUUACAAUAGCAUGAGCAUCUCAUACAUCACAUGUAUAUCAUUCAUCAUUCAUCACAACUUUGGCCAUAUCACAUCACAGAACACUUGCUGCAAAAACAAGUUAGACGUCCUCUAAUUGUUGUUGCAAGUUUUACGUGGCUGCAAUAGGGUUCUAGCAAGAACGUUUUCUUACCUACGUGAAAGCCACAACAUGAUUUGUCAACUUCUAUUUACCCUUCAUAAGGACCCUUUUCAUCGAAUCCGCUCCAACUAAAGUGGGAGAGACAGACACCCGCCAGCCACCUUAUGCAACUUGUGCAUGUUAGUCGGUGGAACCGGUCUCACGUAAGCGUACGUGUAAGGUUGGUCCGGGCCGCUUCAUCCCACAAUACCGUUGAAGCAAGAUAAGACUAGUAGCGGCAAGAAAGUUGACAACAUCUACGCCCACAACAAAUUGUGUUCUACUCGUGCAAAGAGAACUACGCAUAGACCUAGCUCAUGAUGCCACUGUUGGGGAACGUUGCAGAAAACAAAAUUUUUCCUACGGUUUCACCAAGAUCCAUCUAGGAGUUCAUCUAGCAACGAGUGAUCGGAUUGCAUCUACGUACAUUGUAGAUCGCGAGCGGAAGCGUUCAAAGAACGGGGAUGAGGGAGUCGUACUCGACGUGAUCCAAAUCACCGGAGAUCCUAGCGCCGAACGGACGGCACCUCCGCGUUCAACAGACGUACGGUCAGCGUAACGUCUCCUUCCUCUUGAUCCAGCAAGGGGCAAGGAGAGGUUGAGGAAGAUGGCUCCAGCAGCAGCACGAUGGCGUGGUGGUGAUGGAGCUGCAGUACUCCGGCAGGGCUUCGCCAAGCUCUAUGGAGGAGGAUGUGUUGGAGAGGGAGAGGGAGGCACCAAAGGCAAAGGUAAGAGGUCCUCCAUCCUCCCCACUAUAUAUAGGGGGGCCUGGGGGGGGGGGCGCCGGCCCUAGGAGAUGCAAUCUCCUAGGGGGGCGGCGGCCAAGGGGUGGGGGACUUGCCCCCAAGCAAGGGGGCGCCCCCCCCUUUAGGGUUUCCCCCACCCUAGGCGCAUGGGCCCUAAGGGAAGUGGCGCCCCAGCCCACUUUGGGCUGGAUCCCUUCCCACUUCAGCCCAUGGGGCNNNNNNNNNNNNNNNNNNNNNNNNNNNNNNNNNNNNNNNNNNNNNNNNNNNNNNNNNNNNNNNNNNNNNNNNNNNNNNNNNNNNNNNNNNNNNNNNNNNNNNNNNNNNNNNNNNNNNNNNNNNNNNNNNNNNNNNNNNNNNNNNNNNNNNNNNNNNNNNNNNNNNNNNNNNNNNNNNNNNNNNNNNNNNNNNNNNNNNNNNNNNNNNNNNNNNNNNNNNNNNNNNNNNNNNNNNNNNNNNNNNNNNNNNNNNNNNNNNNNNNNNNNNNNNNNNNNNNNNNNNNNNNNNNNNNNNNNNNNNNNNNNNNNNNNNNNNNNNNNNNNNNNNNNNNNNNNNNNNNNNNNNNNNNNNNNNNNNNNNNNNNNNNNNNNNNNNNNNNNNNNNNNNNNNNNNNNNNNNNNNNNNNNNNNNNNNNNNNNNNNNNNNNNNNNNNNNNNNNNNNNNNNNNNNNNGGAAGAUGGCUCCAGCAGCAGCACGAUGGCGUGGUGGUGAUGGAGCUGCAGUACUCCGGCAGGGCUUCGCCAAGCUCUAUGGAGGAGGAUGUGUUGGAGAGGGAGAGGGAGGCACCAAAGGCAAAGGUAAGAGGUCCUCCAUCCUCCCCACUAUAUAUAGGGGGGCCUAGGGGGGGGGGCGCCGGCCCUAGGAGAUGCAAUCUCCUAGGGGGGCGGCGGCCAAGGGGUGGGGGACUUGCCCCCAAGCAAGGGGGCGCCCCCCCCUUUAGGGUUUCCCCCACCCUAGGCGCAUGGGCCCUAAGGGAAGUGGCGCCCCAGCCCACUUUGGGCUGGAUCCCUUCCCACUUCAGCCCAUGGGGCCCUCCGGGAUAGGUGGCCCCACCCGGUGGACCCCCGGGACCCUUCCGGUGGUCCCGGUACAAUACCGGUGACCCCGAAACUUGUCCCGAUAGCCGAAAUAGCACUUCCUAUAUAUAAUUCUUUACCUCCGGACCAUUCUGGAACUCCUCGUGAUGUCCGGGAUCUCAUCCGGGACCCCGAACAACAUUCGGGUUACUGCAUAUACAUAUCCCUAUAACCCUAGCGUCACCGAACCUUAAGUGUGUAGACCCUACAGGUUCGGGAGACAUGUAGACAUGACCGAGAUCGCUCUCCGGUCAAUAACCAACAGCGGGAUCUGGAUACCCAUGUUGGCUCCCACAUGCUCCUCGAUGAUCUCAUCGGAUGAACCACGAUGUCGAGGAUUCAAGCAACCCCGUAUACAAUUCCCUUCGUCAGUCGGUAUGUUACUUGCCCGAGAUUCGAUCGUCGGUAUCCCAAUACCUCGUUCAAUCUCGUUACCGGCAAAUCACUUUACUCUUACCGUAAUGCAUGAUCCCGUGACCAGACACUUGGUCACUUUGAGCUCAUUAUGAUGAUGCAUUACCGAGUGGGCCCAGUGAUACCUCUCCGUAAUACGGAGUGACAAAUCCCAGUCUUGAUCCGUGUCAACCCAACAGACACUUUCAGAGAUACCCGUAGUAUACCUUUAUAGUCACCCAGUUACGUUGUGACGUUUGGUACACCCAAAGCACUCCUACGGUAUCCGGGAGUUACACGAUCUCAUGGUCUAAAGGAAAAGAUACUUGACAUUGGAAAACUCUAGCAAACGAACUAUACGAUCUUGUGCUAUGUUUAGGAUUGGGUCUUGUCCAUCACAUCAUUCUCCUAAUGAUGUGAUCUCGUUAUCAAUGACAUCCAAUGUCCAUAGUCAGGAAACCAUGACUAUCUGUUGAUCAACGAGCUAGUCAACUAGAGGCUUACCGGGGACAUGUUGGUGUCUAAGUAUUCACACAUGUAUUAUGAUUUCCGGAUAACACAAUUAUAGCAUGAAUAAAAGACAAUUAUCAUGAACAAGGAAAUAUAAUAAUAAUGCUUUUAUUAUUGCCUCUAGGGCAUAUUUCCAACACUUUCCUCUACGAGGCAUCACCCUUUGUCACUCUUGCCCGCACACCUCCCCUCAAAACGAGAAGGCCGAGCACGGCAUUCGCUCCAUGAACGACAUUAUGCGCACACUCCUCCAAGCUCACAUGCCACCUUCGUUUUGGGUCGACGCCCUCAACACCACCACAUACUUACUGAAUUUCGCCCAUCCCGAGCCAUCGACCACAUCCCACCCUACUACGCCCUCUUUGGUACCUCUCCAGAUUACAGCUCCCUACGCACGUUCGUCUGCCUCUGCUACCAAAACCUCUAUGCCACUAUGCCCUACAAAUUAGCUCCCCGCUCCGUUCGCUGCAUUCUCCUCGGUAUGCCACUUGAGCAUAAAGGCUACAGGUGCCUGGACCUCUCCAAUCGAUGACUCAUUACCUCUAGACAUGUCAUUUUUUGACGAAAACACCUUCCCAUUCAUUGAUGCCCCGAGCGGCCACACGCCUGCACGAGCAGGGUCUGCUCCGGCCGCAGAAAAUCAAGCACCCACCUCCAUCCCCCUCGGAUCACCCACUCCACCAGUCACGCACCACCUCCCAUCCCCAAGCAUGCAGCCCGACCCCACCUCCCAAACCCAUGCAGUGAUUCACCCAUCACCUGCAUGCGGCGCGCCUCCCCUCGUGUCGACUCCACGCCUAGAUGCAGUAGCCCGCCACUUACGCCUCUGCAUGCAGCGCCCCUCACUCUAUGCCGCCCACGCAUGUAGUACGAUCCCACCCUGAGUCGUGCCGAUUUUACCUGCCAAAAACUUGCAUGCCAGGCGCACCUGCGCAAAGUCCAGUUUUCUGCAGCCAAAGAAGCUUCUGACCGUCGCUACCUCUCCCGCCCCCAUCUCUCCUAUUCCCGCAAACUACAAAGAAGCUCUCAAAGACCCCAACUGGUACAAUGUUAUGCUUGAAGAAUUUAACGCUUUGUUGCAAAGCAAAACGUGGUCUUUGGUUGCUUGCUCUGCAGGUGUCAACUUGGUGUCUGGGAAGUGGAUAUUCCGCCACAAGCUUCAUCUCGACGGCUCCCUCGCUCGGUACAAGGCGUGUUGGGUACUUCGUGGCUUCACAAAGCAGCCUGGCAUUGACUACGGGGAGACCUUCAGCCCCGUGUGGUGAAACCGGCCACCAUCCGCGUCAUCCUCAGUGUCGCCAUCAGUAACCGUUGGGCCAUUAACCAGCUGGACAUGAAGAACCCCUUCCUCCACGGCACUCUCGAUGAGCUCGUCUACAGUCAGCCGCCGGCUAGCUUCGUCGACACCGCACACCCCUCGACCAUGUGCAAACUCCAAAAGUCCUUGUAUGACUUAAGCAGGCUCCUCGUGCGUGGUUCCAGCGGUUCACCACAUUCCUUCUCUCGCUCGGCUUCACGGUGUCAAGAUCCGACACAUCCCUAUUUAUUCUCCGCCGUGGCACCUCAGUGGCAUACCUCUUGCUAUAUGUUGACGAUAUCAUUCUCACCGCUAGCUCCUCCGGGUUACUCACCAUCGUUACCGCCGCUCUCACCUCUGAGUUCUCCAUGGCGAACCUCAGCUCGCUCCACCACUUCCUUGGCGUCAAUGUUCAGUGCAGCCCCACUGGUUUGUUUCUUUCCGAGCAACAGUAUGCGCUCGAGAUCCUUGAUCGCGCCUCCAUGCUCAACUGCAAACCCAUCACUACCCCCGUCGACACCAAAGCAAAGCUCGCCACCUCGCCACCUCAGCUAACGACUCUGCUCCUGACCCAUCCCUCUUCCAUAGUCUCGCCGGUGCCCUGCAGUACCUCACGCUCAUGCGCCCGGACAUAGCCUACACCGUCCAGCAGGUGUGCCUCGUCAUGCACUCGCCGCGCAUGCUACACGCCGCCCUCCUCAAAUGUAUCAUGCGUUAUCUGCGUGGUACCACCCACCUUGGCCUUCAUAUUCGUCUGUCUGCUUCAUCCCAGCUCAUGUCUUACACAGACGCCGACUGGGCCGGUUGUCCCGACACCGUACCUGACGCUCGAUGUCUGGCUACUACAUGUACAUCGGUGACAACCUCGUCUCCUGGUCUUCGAAGCGACAAACCACCUUGUCGCGAUCGAGUGCGGAGGCAGAGUACCGAGCUGUCGCCAACGCGGUCACGGAGUCGUGUUGGCUACGAAGCUUCUUCAGGAUAUCGGAUGGCCUCCAUGGUGCUACCACUGUUUACUGAGACAACGUAUCGGUGACUGAAGGAAAUAUGCCCUAGAGGCAAUAAUAAAGUUAUUAUUUAUUUCCUUAUAUCAUGAUAAAUGUUUAUUAUUCAUUCUAGAAUUGUAUUAACGGAAACAUAAUACAUGUGUGAAUACAUAGACAAACAGAGUGUCACUAGUAUGCCUCUACUUGACUAGCUCGUUGAUCAAAGAUGGUUAUGUUUCCUAACCAUAGACAUGAGUUGUCAUUUGAUUAACGGGAUCACAUCAUUAGGAGAAUGAUGUGAUUGACUUGACCCAUUCCGUUAGCAUAGCACUUGAUCGUUUAGUUUGUUGUUAUUGCUUUCUUCAUGACUUAUACAUGUUCCUAUGAUUAUGAGAUUAUGCAACUCCCGUUUACCAGAGGAACACUUUGUGUGCUACCAAACGUCACAACGUAACUGGGUGAUUAUAAAGGUGCUCUACAGGUGUCUCCGAAGGUACUUGUUGGGUUGGCGUAUUUCGAGAUUAGGAUUUGUCACUCCGAUUGUCGGAGAGGUAUCUCUAGGCCCUAUCGGUAAUGCACAUCACUUAAGCCUUGCAAGCAUUGCAACUAAUGAGUUAGUUGCGGGAUGAUGUUUUACGGAACGAGUAAAGAGACUUGCCGGUAACGAGAUUGAACUAGGUAUUGAGAUACCGACGAUCGAAUCUCGGACAAGUAACAUACCGAUGACAAAGGAAAUAACGUAUGUUGUUAUGCGGUCUGACCGAUAAAGAUCUUCGUAGAAUAUGUGGGAGCCAAUAUGAGCAUCCAGGUUCCGCUAUUGGUUAUUGACCGGAGACAUGUCUCGGUCAUGUCUACAUAGUUCUCGAACCUGUAGGGUCCGCACGCUUAAAGUUUCGGUGACGAUUGUAUUAUGAGUUUAUGUGAUUUGAUGUACCGAAGGUAGUUUGGAGUCCCGGAUGAGAUCGGGGACAUGACGAGGAGUCUCAAAAUGGUCGAGACGUAAAGAUCGAUAUAUUGGACGACUAUAUUCGGACAUCGGAAAGGUUCCGAGUGAUUCGGGUAUUUUCGGGAGUACCGGGAGUUACGGGAAUACGAGGAAGAAGUAAUGGGCCUCAUGGACCAAGUGGUGGAAGAGAGGAGGCAGGGCGCGCGGCCCUCCUAGCCCAAACCGAAUUGGACUAGGGGGCCGGCCCCCCUUUCCUCCUUUUCCUCCUUCUCCUUCCUUCUCCUUCUCCUCCUUCCUUUCCUCCUCCUAGUAGGAGUAGGAAAGGGGAGUCCUACUCCUACUAGGAGGAGGACUCCUCCUCCUGGCGCGCCCAUAGAGGGCCGGUCGGCCUCCCCCCUUGCUCCUUUAUAUACAGGGGCAGGGGGGCACCUCUAGACACACAAGUUGAUCUUCGUGAUCGUUCCUUAGCCGUGUGUGGUGCCCCCUUCCACCAUAUUCCACCUCGGUCAUAUCGUAGCGGUGCUUAGGCGAAGCCCUGCGUCAGUAGAACAUCAUCACCGUCAUCACGCCGUCGUGCUGACGAAACUCUCCCUCAACACUCGGCUGGAUCGGAGCUCGAGGGACGUCACCGAGUUGAACGUGUGAGAACUCGGAGGUGCCGUACGUUCGGUACUUGGAUCGGUCGGAUCGGGAAGACGUACGACUACUUCCUCUACGUUGUGUCAACACUUCCGUUGCUGGUCUACGAGGGUACGUAGACGACACUCUCCCCUCUUAUUGCUAUGCAUCACCAUGUUCUUGCGUGUGCGUAGGAAAUUUUUUGAAAUUACUACGUUAUCCAACAAUGACGUACCUCUCCACCAACCCGGUACAACACCAACGCACCAAGCACGUGGAGAUUGAUCUUCAUUUCGUGCGCGACCGCGUUGUCUUCGGAGAUGUUCGUGUUCUGCAUGUUCCGGCAACCUCCCAGUUUGCCGACGUUUUCACCAAGGGGAUACCAACCGGCGUCUUGACAGAGUUCCGGUCCAGCCUCAAUGUCGUCGAAGACCCCGUUGCGGCUGUGGGGGGCUGCUGGAAUUGUAAAACGCCUCCUGCAUGUACAUUACCGGGUCCCUCGGCUGGACAGAUCGGCUCGCGCAAGUAGCAUGGGACACCUGCGUCUGUUACACACGAUCCCCUUCUCCGUUGCUUGUAGCUGCUGUACCUAGGCGUAUAUAUAUAACUCUGUACAAUCUGGAAUAGACACGGUGAAGAUCACCUUUCAACUGUUCGCACUGUGCGGCCAAACCUUGUUUGGCUGGGACUGACAAAUGAAAAUGAUGCACCCGAGCACAUCCAGAAGGAUCUGAACGCUCGCAGUCCAAACCAGCUUAUCGGCAUUGGUACAGAGUUGAGGCAAAACCGAGCAGUGAAGCAAGCUCCAGCAUUUUCAACAUGAAGGAAACGAAAAAGACGAAACAGGCUCCAACAUUCUCGUCAAAAAAGAUAAGAAAAGGAAAAAAGAAACAGGCUCCAGCAUUCUUGACACAAAAGAAAUGAAGAAGGAAAACGAAACAGGCUCAGGCAUUCUUGACACAAAAGAAAAGAAAAAGGAAAAGGAGAAAGGCUCCAAUAUUCUUGACAAAAUAGAGAAGCAAAAGAAAAAGGAAUCAGGCACAAGCAUCCUCGACACAGAAGAAAAGAAAAGGGAAAAGGAAAUUGGAUCCAGCAUUCUCGAUAAAAAGGAAGAGAAACAGGAAACAGGUUCAACCAUUCUCGACAAAAAGGAAAAGAAAAAGAAAACAGGCUCCGACAUUUUGGACAAAAGAGAAAAGAACAAGGAAACGAAAACAGGCUCCAGCAUUGAUCUCGACAAGAAAGAAAAGAAAAAAAUUUGAAAAGCAAGCUCCGUCAGAACGGUAACAGUAGCACCAAUGCUAAAGAAGAGCAAAUUGAACAGUAGCACCAAGGUGAAGGAAGCUCAAGACCGAUGAGAUGUCCUGGUUUCUAUAUAUCCAAUUAAUAUACCAUAUUUUAAUUAUUGUAACAAUAUGAUUGUAUUUUUUGUGAUGUAAUGAGUCGUUUGAUUCGAACCUCUGUUUGUUCAGUUUCUGCUUGCUGCUGUUGUAAUCACAAACCGUCAUGUCAAAUAAAUGGAGUGAAUAGCAAAAAACUACCAUAUUACGGGCUAUCGUUCCGGAAAACUAUCGCUUGUUUUAAUUUUUCAAAAAACUACCACAAAAGUGGCUGGCUGUUCCAAAAAACCCAAGUGGCCGAACGGUUAAGUUUUAACUGGGGUUAUGACAUGUGGGGCCCGCCCGUCAGGGUUUUGUCGGCCACAGUGCUCACGGCGCGCGGGUGACGGCCGUUAGGGCGCACGGCCCGUCCCGACGAGGUCAAAAUGGAUCCGGCCCUCACUCUGUCUCCCUCUCGCUCACUCACUCUCUCCCCCCUCACUCUCACUCUCCCCCCUCGCUCUGUUUCCCCUGGCCGAGCUCUCCAUCGUCGCUGACCACCUCAGUUCCUCGUCGCCGGCCAGGAUGCCUUCUUGGAAUGAUGGGGAUGAGAGCUCCGACGAUAGCAUGGGGGGCAACCUGAUGGACAUGGAGUACUUUGUAAGCCUCAUCGUCCUCCUCUCUGUCAUUAUCUAGGGUUAGGGUUGAAUCGAUUUGGGAAUGAGGGUUGAUGAGCUGUAUAUUUGUAUGCAUGGAUUCAUUUGGUUUGGUUAUCUAUUAGUUUUGAUCUAGGGUAUGGAUGGCACUGUGAUGUCUGAUCUGACCUUGAGCAAGGCAAAGCUUGACUCAAGUUGAACUAGUUGAUGCAUUGGUUCUGAUCUACCUUUUACUGCAUGUAGGACACACCUGACACCAUCCCUGAGCCACUCUGGUGUGGUGCUCCCAUGGAGGAAGUUGCCAAGUGUACUCUGCAUGAUAUGAAGCCUAGGAAGUGUGUUGCUUUUGAAGGUGCUAAGACUGGGAGGAGGUUCUAUGGAUGCCCUGUUCAGGUGAGUAAUUGAGUAUCCUGGGUGGAUUCAGUUAUGCCUAGUGGAUUCAGUUAUUCCUAGUGGUUACUGAAUUUGUACAUUAACUCUAUUUGAACUGAAUUUAGUACUGAAUUUAUGGUUACAUGUCCUCCUUGUGUACCAACCCUCUUUUUGAAUUGAAGUUAGAACUGAAUUUCUGCAUUUUCUGAAGUAUGUGUUCUCUGAUCAAACUACAGGGAGGUGUGAAUUGUGGUGUAGUUCAGUGGGUUGAUCCUGCCUGGCCUGAUGUACUUAAGAACUGCCUCAUCAAGUUGUGGGAAAUGUUCCAUGAGCAAAACCUUGGAAGGUUUCAAGACAAGCAUGCAUAUGAGGAUGAGGUUGCCAAGUUGAAGAAGGACUAUGAUCUGCUCUGCACUGAGUAUCAUAAAAUGGUUGAUGAUGUUAGCAAGAUGUUUGACUGGCAUGAUGGUGUUGGCAAGAUUGACUACCAAAAAGCAAUGGAUGCUGGGAAAUUUGAGAAGCAGAAGGAAGAGCUAGAGCUGGAGAUGAAGAUGGAGAAGCUAAGGCUAGCAAAAGAACAGAGGUGUAUCCUUCAGGCCCAGGCAGACAUAAUUCACAACACCAGGAAGGCAAUGAAAGAGAUAAAGGUGGACAGGGAUCUUUUUGCACAAGAGAAGACAAAGCUUGAGAAAGUAGUUGCUGAUCUGCUAAAUGCUGGCCAUGGGAGCAAGGAAAAGCUUGAGAAAAUCAAGGCCAUACUGGAGGCUUGAAGAUUUGGACAAUGGUGGUUAAGUAAGUAAGGUGGCCUACACAUAUAACAGGCCUUGCAAGAUGAUGGUAGGAGUAUAUUUUGUGCAGUCCUAUAUGAACUAUUUAAGUUAUGGUAACUAGAGUGGUGGAGAACCUUUGCUAAGUCUGGCUUAUGUUAUUGUACUGUUAAGAACCUAUCUAUCUUAAGUAAUGCAGUGAAGAACUGUUUUAUUUCUUUAGGUUGUUUUCCUGAAAGUAGCAAUGCUGAACUAGUAUAUUUUUGGGCCUAAAACCAUUAUGUACACAUUGUGGGCCUAGACUGGGCUGUUUUAUUACUCCACCUACCUACCACCAACCAUUAGUAGUCUAUAAAGCCCACCCCUUGAGUGAAACCGCAGUCAAUCCCCCCAUCCCCACCCUUCUCAACCCCCCAGCCGCCAAAGAAACCCUAGAAUCCAAGGGAGAGAUGGAUCCUGGAGAGGUCAUAGAUGGAGAAGAAGAGGUGCCCAGACAAGCCAGGCGCAGAGAUGCAAGGAGGAGGGCGAGAAGGCAACUUGCUGAGAUGAUCCUUGCAACACGCAACCGCAAGGACAUAAAGCAGUUCCUGGAGGCAUUCCCCCCUGGUUCCAACCCUAGUGAUGAUGAUAUCAUCUACUGGGCAAGGAGGAGGGCAAAUUUCCAUCCCUUUUAGGUCACUAGGCAAAGGUGGACUAGGAUUUUGUACCCAUGAUGCUGCUGUUAUGUUUCUUUGUUCCUAGAUCUGUCUUUCUAUCUAUGUGAUGUUUGAAGUUGGUGUAAGAACAAUGUUGAAUGAGCUAUGUAUGUGACGAAUCAAGUUGUCCAUGAUGCAAUGCAAUGUAUGAAGCUGGUGAAAGAAAAAUGUUGAAUGAUCUAUCUAUGUGAUGAAUCAAUCUGUCUAUGAUGCAAUUUAUGAGUGAAUCUUUUAUCUAUAUUUGUAUGUAUGAAUGAAUUGAUCUGGUGAUCUUGAUGUUUUAAGUUAGAUAUGUUAUGGUUUGUUCAGAUGGCCAUAUCUUGUUGUUUUAGGUUUGAUCUCUUAGGGUUUGGUGCCUAGAUGGGAAAAUCUUGAUGUUUUAGCUUUGAUAUGUUAGGUUUUGGUCCUAGAUAGCCACUUUGGGGUUGGUCAACAAGUAGCCACCCAAAGUGGCCAAAUUUGGGUGGCUUUAGGGUUGGUCGACAAGUUCCACCCCAAAGUGGCCAAAUGUGGCCACUUUGGGGUUGGUCGACAAGUAGCCCCCCAAAGUGACCAAAUUGACCUAAUCAUAUCAAUCAAUUAUCAACAAAAUAAAUCACUUGAUCUACAUAACAAUGCUCAGCAUAAGAAAUAAUUUCAUAUGAAACAAUUCAUAACCUAGGACAUAUCAAAUCAAAAUAAAGCUUGACAACAGAUAACUUAAUUGUUCCAAGCAGUUCAAACACAGACCAUAUAACUUAAUUGUUCCAAGCAGUUCAUACAUAGACCACAUAACUUAAUUGUUCAAAUGAAAAAAAAGUUCACUGCAAAUAACACAGAUAGCAAGCAUGCCUAGCAAGUAGAGUUCAAGGCAUAAAGCAUAGUUGAGUGCAACACAUUCAAUGGUUGCCACUGGCUGUGAAAUACAAAGCAAGUUUGCUUGGGGCCUUCCUCUUCCUCUUAGAACCAACAUCAGCUUGACCUGAUGUUGAUGCUGCCCUUGGAGCAUUGAAACCUCUUGCACUUGACCUGGUGUUCUUUACUGGAGAUGAUGCACUUGACCUGGUGUUGUUGGCUGGUGCUGAAGCAGGUGGUGGGUUCUUUCUCUUUCUUGAUCCACCUGUUGAAACUGCAGUAGAUGUGGUUGCCCUUGUUGUAGCAGAUGUGGUUGACCUUGUUGAAGUUGUUGCUAGUUUCCUGCCCCUAAGUGGUCCUAAAGCUGGAGCUGGACCUGAAGCUGGAGCUGGACUUGAAGCUGGAGCUGGACCUGAUGAUGUGGCCUGGUGGUUGUUUUUCCUUGUCAUAAACUUGGCCUUAAGUCCGUCUCCAUAGAUUGUCCACCUGUGGCCUUGCAGACCACAGUUACUGCAUGUUAUUGUGCCCAUCCUUGAUGUAUCCUUUGGAGCUGGCACCUCAAAUUCACCCUUUCUCCUAGCUGUCUGCUUCUUGCCUUUCUUCUCCCUGAAAACUGGUGGUUCUAUGUCUGGUGUGUUGGUGUUGGGCCAGAAUUCAGGGCCAGGGACAGGGUAGAUGAUGUGCUGGUAUGCAGCCUUAUACAUUGGCUUCUUAAAGAAUGGAUGCACAUAAUCUUCUGGGUGAACUUUUAUCUUCUGCAUUGCAGAUAUUGCAUGGUGGCAAGGUGAUCCAGUCAUGUCCCACCUCCUGCAAGAGCAGCUCCCUACAUCAAGCUUCACACAAUAUGUGUUCUCUCCACUAGUUACUUGCCAGAUGUUGGGACCAGCCAUGUUUGCUUCACAGUAUUUAGCCCACUUCUUGCUCUCCUCAAGCUUCUCCAUGUAAUCUGGGGUUAUUUCCCACCUACAGCUCUCUGUUUUCUCUCUGAUGCCCUGGUACUUAACCAUUAGUUUGGUCCUCAACCCUUCAAACAUGGUCUUAAUUAGUUUUGACCUAACAUCUAGAAUCAUUUUUUUGAAAACCUCACUAAGGUUGUUCACUACCAAGUCAGUCUUGCACACAUGAUCCAUUGCAUAUCUAGCCCAACACUCCUUAGGGAUGCCAUUCAACCACAUGUAGGCUGGUUCACAUGCUGCUUUCAAACCUGCCAUUCCUUCUUUGUGACCAUGUUUAGUGAAGGAAUAGCUAGCUUUGUCAACCCAUUUCUUAAGUUCUUCUGCUCUAAAGCCAGCUGACUGGAAGUUGGCAUAUAUGUGUCUUAGGCAAUAUCUUUGUGGGGAUUGAGGAAAUACUUCAUUAAUUGCUUUAAGAAGGCCCUGUUGUUUGAUUACAUAAGGUAGUAAUGAGAUAACUAUAGCAGCAUUGCUAUGUGCAUAAGAAUAAUACAGAGCCAGAGAAAAUACCUUCUGCCUGUCAGACAUGAUGGUGUAGUUUCCAAACUGGUUGCUGGUGCCAAUGCAGACUCUAAGUUGGUUUAAAAACCAGGUCCAGCUAGGCCCAUCCUCUUUGUCAACCACCCCAAAAGCAAUUGGGAACACAUUGUUGUUCCCAUCUCUCCCAGUUGCUACCAAUAUCUGUUGGCCUGUGGAUAACUUGAUGAAGCAACCAUCAAGUCUUGCAUAAACAGAGAUAGUUAGGGCAAAAUUGAAUAACUUGAUUACAUUUGUAACAUGAUUAAAUCACUGAUUUGUACCUAUGAAAGGCCUACAACCAGCAAGAAAUCCAUCUUUUGAUGCCUGGAGGCAAUAGAACAUGUACUUGAACCUUGGUGUGGGGGCUGGGUUCAAAGGAUCCUCAAAAGUUGUCACUAUGCACCUGCUUCCAGGGUUUGUGUCAAGCACACAUUGUAGGUAGUCCCUCAACCUCAGAUACUGCUUUCUAUGAUCACCUUGCACAACAUCAACAGCCAUCAGUCUUGCCCUAUAUGCCAAACUCCUAGGUACAUGCACCCCAAACUUCUUCUUAGUAUGUUUGAGAACUGUCUCUACAUCAGCCUUUACAUUUGAUCUAACUGUGUCCUCCACAGCUUCUGCAACCCAUUCAGCAGUAACCUUUGUACUCUCUCCACAAGCUCCACAACUAUGAUCCAUGUGGCACUUCUUGAUUGUGAAUGUAUCUUCAUGGGCUACUUUGGAUGCAGUCAUGAAAAAAUCACAUCCAUUCUUCCUCUCUGGGCACCAAACAAUAACCCUUGAUGGUUCAUUCCUAUGGUACUGAAAGUUUCUCAAAGUCCUAACAUGAAAAUUUCUCAAUGCCUUUCUAAACUCAUACACAUUGGUGAAGCAAAGGUCCUUGCACAGCUGCUCAUGUGCAUCAGGUACCUUUGGGUCAUACCAUUUCCUCUCUUUCUUCUUCUUCAAUCUUCUCUUCCUUCCAGAAGGUAGUCUUGGAGUCUCCCCAUCUGAGUCAGAAAUGCCCAUAUCACCAGGGAAGCAAUACUCAUCAGCUUCAAGUACAAAAUCUUGAAACUUUGGGAUCUCUGGCUGACUGUGAGCUCUGGAAGUUGGACCUGGAUUUGCUACUGCUCUUCUCACAGGCUUGAGUUUCUCAGGCCUGCAUUUUUCCACAACUAUUUCCUCUCCACUGUCUGCCUCUUUCUCCUCCUGCCAAAACUCUGAAACAUCACUGUCACCUUCAAACUGUGGUCUGUCUUCUAUAGCAUCUCUUUCUUCUUCAUUUCCAAUAUUUUCUUCACCUCUCUUCCAAGCCUUGUAAGACAUCUUUAUCCCUCUAUAGUCACCCCUAUCAAUCUCAAAGUCUGAGGAUGAUUUGUCAAUAUCAUCAUCCUCUUGACCAGCAGCCUGUCCAUCAUCAUCUCCACCAUUAGCUUCUGAAAUGUUGAAGUUACAGCUUUGCUGUGUGUUCAAAUUAACUUCAAGAGGGUGGACCACUCCAUCUUGUGACAGACUUAACACAAAACCAGGACCCCCCAGUGGGUUGCCUAUUGGAAUUUGUUCUUCACAAACAUUGUGAGCCCUGUUACAUUCAACAUCUCUAUCUUCAUUUGCCUUGGAAACAAUGAUAUUGAGCACUGUGAAAUCUAAGUGGUCUAUCAUUUCUUCAACUGCAUCUUGACUGUCCAAAAGAAAUAAACCUUCCUGUCCAAUCCCUUGUUCUUUUACCCAGUACAUGUAGUCAUCUGACCCAUAGCCUUCAGUCUCAGUAAGUGCUAUCAAGUUCAGAAAUGUGAUGUCUGAAACAGAAAACCUCCUUUCCAUAUUAUCUCUGCCCUGGAAAUGCAGCCUAACAUCCCAAACUUCAUCAUCUAGCCUGCAUUACAUAAUAUGUUAUUUGAAAAGCCCAACUAAGUAAGUGUUUUUGCUACAAAUAUUCAGUGCACACUACUAUAAAGUACAGUAAGGAAUCUGAAUCCAAAAAAUGCUUCUCUGAAUCCACCAUGCAUUUCUACUAAAUCUAACUAAUCCUUCAGUGCUAAGUGAUACUGUUGCAUCCAAAACAUGCCACAGAGUGUUUGCUCAACUAUUAUUCAGUGCAUGUUCAUGUUCUAAGAUGAAUCACAGCAGCAUCAACCUAGGGUUUGGUCAAAAAACUAACUAAAUUAUGCUAUGUUAUUUGAAAUGAACAAGCAGAAAUGCAGAAACUGUUGAAGGAGCUCAUAAGAGGAAAAAAACUUACUCCACCCCUCCAAAUGCAGAGGCCCAGUGCUGGGAGUUGGCCGGAUCUGCCUGCACAGCCCUAUCAAGAGACCUCGCUGCUCUGUACUCAAGCGAGAACUGGCAAUCAUCAGGCGACGGUGGUGUAGCCUGUGUCGUAGGAGCCUGCAUCAGAGCUGCAGCCUGUGGUGUCCGCUGCGGCGGCGGCGGCGCCGCCGGCUAGGUUGCGAAGCUACCACUCCCCAGCCAGUUAUCAACCUCUAAGAACUCGCCGCCUCCAUCCCCCCUUCCACCUCCACCCGUUGAAUGGCCGCCAUCGCCUAGUUUCGCCGCCGCCGCCGCCAUCGGAGAGGGAGGCGCGCACAAGAGAGAGGGAGACAGAGAGGGGGAAGACAGAGUGAGGGCGGGCCGGAUCCAUUUGACUUGGUCGGGACGGCCCGUGUGCCCUAACGGCCGUCACCCGCGCGCCGUGAGCACUGUGGCCGACAAAACCCUGACGGGCGGGCCCCACAUGUCAUAACCCCAGUUAAAACUUAACCGUUCGGCCACUUGGGUUUUUUGGAACAGCCAGCCACUUUUGUGGUAGUUUUUUGAAAAAUUAAAAAAAGCGGUAGUUUUCCGGAACGAUAGCCUGUAAUGUGGUAGUUUUUUGCUAUUUACUCCAAAUAAAUGCUUAAAAAGAGUGCAUCUAAUGGAGUAGUACAAAAUGGUAAAGAAAAUAAAUCAGCCACUAAUGGAGUAACAAAGGUGAUAGCACGGAGUUUGGUAGGCACCGACAAUGAGUAAGCAGGCUGAGGCCACCGGUGCACGAAGAGGAUCAGAAGCGCUGGUUGGGGCUGUGGUUUGGGGCGGCUGCGAUGAAACUUCUUAUUCAACGCUUAUAGCACCGUUUACAGUGUUAUCGGUACCUUUUUUUUGAGGGAAAGAGCCAACUUUAUUAAUCAAAAUCCACAGUGCGUGGGACACAACGAUGGUCAUGGGGCUGGCCAAGCCACACAUGACGCCCUGGUGGUAGCGAUAAAGAAAACCUAGCUAUCUCGUGAGCUUCAGCAUUCUGAGCUCGACUCUCAAAGGUGAAAUUACAUAAAAGUGGUGAUGAGCUCAUCUUUAUCUCUCUGAUUAUAGCUCCAUAAGUGCCAUGACUACCCAUAGCAAUGUCGCCAAUGACUUGUUUGCAGUCCGAAGCCACCACAAAACGUUGCACAUUAAGAUCUUGUGCUAGGGAAAUAGCCUCCCGACAUGCUAUGGCCUCCAGUGUCGCGGGGUCGCAAACUCCGACAAUGACAAGUGAUGAGCUCCCCAUAUAGACACCCUGGCUGUCACUGCAUAUGGCCGCGGCCGUGCCACCCCUCUGAAAUCUUACUGCCACGUCAACAUGAACCUUAGCAUAGCCAGCAGGUGGAGCCUUCAGCCUCUGAGUAGAAGCGUGGCCAGUAGCUGCAGAACGUACGUUGAUCUUUGCAGGGAGUGAGGCAGUAGCCAAAUCAGCCAUGAAGCGAGUUAUAAACUCCUUCGUCGCCCUGGGUGAUUGGAAUAUUGAUUCAUGGAUAGCUUUUCUCCUCGAGGUCCAGAUCGCCCAUAAGGUGACCGCCAGCAGAGUGAACUUCUCAUGUGUUAGCAUAUCCAUUAAUCCAAAGAGCCAGCUCUUCGCCCUCGUCUCCGUUGAUGCGACCAGACUGCAGCCCAAGUCCUCAUCUACCAACGCCCAUAUGCAUCUGGAGACUGUGCACUCCAGGAGGGAAUGACUCCAUGAAUCAGGAGAACCGCAGAGGCCGCACGAGCUAGUCGUUGACAUAUUACGAUGGGCCCUCACAUCCUCCGUCGGUAGUGACUGUUUUGAUAAACGCCAUAGAAACAUGCGUACUUUUGCUGGUACCACAGUUUUCCAGAGGGACUUCCAAGAGGCUUCAUCGACAUGGUUGCUGGAUGAUGCGCCGGAGCCCUCUAGCCACGCCUCUCGCCGUUGCUUCAUAGAUACCAACAUAUUAUAGGCUGACCUGACUGUGAAUUGUCCGGUUCUCUCGUGCAUCCAGCUCCAAAAGUCCUGCAUAGGAGCCGUACACAACGGGAUACCCAUGAUGAUUUUAGCAUCGAAAGGCAAGAAAGUUGCUUCCACCACAGAUCUCUUCCAUGAAGCAUUAGUUGCAUCGAUCAGUUCAGAUACUGUGUUGGGAGGAUUACUUACGCAACAACCAUACGGUCUCAUCAUCUCUGACCGGGGAAGCCAGUUUUCGGUCCAAAUGCUGGUGCUCGCCCCAUCUCCUAUCCGCUUGAUCAGUCCCAAUUUAAGAAUAUCCCGGCCUUCCACUAUGGCUCUCCAUAUCUGACUUGGAUGGUUCCCAAGUGUUGCCUCAAGUAUAGAUGUAUGUGGAAAAUAUACGCUCUUCAGAAUCCGUGCACUCAGAGACUCGGGGUCUUGUAACAUUCUCCAUGCCUGCCUGGCUAACAUGGCAAGAUUGAAAAGCUCAAAAUCUUUGAAUCCAAGGCCUCCCAUGCUUUUUGGUUGUGUCAUUGCUUCCCAAGAGACCCAGUGAGGUUUGCGUUGGCCGUUUGAGCUCCCCCACCAAAAUUUCCUUAUUAGCAUAUUGAGGUGCUCACAUAACCCCCUAGGUAGUUUGAAACAAGACAUGGAAAAUACCGGCACUGACUGGGCAACAGAUUUGACUAGUACCUCUUUUCCUGCCGCCGACAAAGUUCUCUCUAUCCAUCCCUGAAUUUUGCUCCAUAAUCUGUCCUUCAAAUAUUUGAAGGCACCGUUUUUUGAACUCCCUAUAUCAGAUGGCAUGCCCAGAUACUUCUCAUUCAAGGUUUCCUUGGGGACAUUGAACAUACCUUUUAUAGCAUUGCGAGUUUCCUCAGAAACGCCUUUACUAAAGAAAAUUGAGGAUUUGUUGUAGUUGAUUCUUUGACCUGAAGCUUGGCUAUAAAUUUCCAACAACUGGUUAACCUCUGUAGCACCCGCACUGUUGGCCUUGAAGAACAGCAGGCUGUCAUCAGCGAAUAGAAGAUGGUUAACUAGUGGUGCCUGCAGCGCCACCUGAAUCCCACCCAAGUUUGAUGACUCACUUUGUGAUUUGAAAAGGCACGACAUGCCCUCUGCUGCUAACAAGAACAAGUACGGUGAUAUUGGGUCACCUUGUCGGAUUCCACGUGAUGGGUUGAACUCCUCAAGUUUCUUUCCAUUGAACAUGACUGCGAAUUUUACUGAGGUAACCAUGCCCAUUACAAUAUCCACCCACCUUCUGUUAAAACCCAAUAUAAUCAUGAUGGCUUAGAGAUAAGCCCAUUCAACUCGAUCAUACGCCUUCAUCAUAUCCAAUUUCAGAGCACAUGAGUGAUUUUUCUUUUCCUUGUUCCUCUUCAUGAAAUGCAAUCACUCAUAUGCCGUUAUUAUGUUGUCUGUGAUCAAUCUCCCCGGAACAAAGGCUGAUUGUUCAGCAGAAAUUAUAUCUGGCAGUAUCUGUUUGAGUCUGUUGGAGAUUACCUUGGACGCUAUUUUAUAGAGCACGUUACAUAAACUUAUGGGCCGAAACUGGGCAAGGAGUGUGGGGUUUUUGACCUUGGGGAUGAGAACCAGCACCGUAUUGUUAAUGCAUGCUGCUGACUCUGUCCCGUCCACAAUUUUGAGUACCACUUUCGUUACAUCUGCACCGCAUACAUCCCAGUGGCGCUGAAAGAAGUGAGCGGGGAAUCCAUCCGGGCCAGGGGCUUUGAUUGGAAACAUUUGGAACAACACACUUUUCACUUCAUCGUGUGUGUAAGGAGCAUUCAGACGAUCGUUCAUUGCCUGCGUUACUUUAGUAGAUACUGACUCCAGUACCCUAUCCAUGCCCUGUACUCCCUCGGUUGUGUAUAAGUUUUUGUAAAAUUCGGUGGUAAGCUCCUCCAUCUCCUCCCUGUCCUCGGUCAGCUAUCCAUCCGAUCGCUGCAACAAUUUUAUCUGGUUCUUCCGGCGGCGGCGGCUCGCUCGCAGGUGAAAAGAAUAAGUGUUUUUGUCACCAUGGACCAGCCAAUCCAGUCGAGCGCGUUGGCGCCACAUCAAUUCCUCUCUAUCAAACAGUUCGACCAGUCUGUCAGCUAUCUUGGUUUCAGUGUUUGUCGGUCCCGUCCGUCCUGGCGCUGAACGCAUGACCUCAAGCUGGCGUUGGAGUUGGCGAAUCUCCAUACGCACCGAUCCGAAGUUGUUGCGGUCCCACGCUGACAAAUCUCCCGCCAGGUUCCCUAGUUUUGCAUGUAUGCCCUCAACCGAUUCUCCAUCCUGCAGACUCCAGCUAUCACGCACAGUGUCAAACAGUGUUUCGUCCCUUUCCCACAUCGUCUCAUAUUUAAAAGCCUUGUGGCCCAUUUUGCAUGCAUGCAACUCACGUAGCUGAAGAAGAAUAGGAAUGUGAUCUGAACUAGCAGCACUUUUGUGCGAUAGCUGUGAUGAUGCGAGGGCGAGAGUCCAUUCUGUAUUUACCAGGCACCUGUCCAGCCUAACCUGGGUGUAGGUGCCUCCUGUGACCCUUUUUUCAAAUGUCCAACUAGUGCCAGAGUAUCCAAUAUCUGAUAACCCACAUGUAUCAACUGCUUCCCUGAAUGCUUCUAUUUGGGCUUGGCUUCGUUGUCCCACACCAUCAUGUUCAUGGCUGUGAAGAACCUCAUUAAAAUCUUCCAUGACUGCCCACGGUCUGUUCUGCGUCUCAGCAAUACCGCGCAGGGUGUCCCAUGUUUUGUAUCUCUCUGGUACCUGGGCUUCGCCAUAGACAAAGGUAAUUCUUACCUGCAAAUCAACUAAGUCAUCAACAAGAAUAUCAAUGUGAUACUUUGAGUAAUCGAUAACUUCCACUUUUAUUUCAUCGUUCCAAAAAAUUCCAAGUCCACCACUUCUACCGGAACUACUAACUGCAAAGCUUUUAUUGUAGCCUAUGCUAUCAGCCAUACUCUCAACCCUCUUUCCCUCUAUUUGAGUUUCAAGAAUACAAACAAUAGAGGGGGCAAACUGCCUCGCUAGAUCGUGAAGCUCUCUAACUGUCGCGGCUUUGCCAAUCCCGCGAAAGUUCCAGCAAAGAAGACUCAUUGCGCUAGGCGCGGCCCCGCUUCGGAGCCCGCCACAUGCGCAUCAGGGUUUUUGGUAGAAACUGUGCUCUUCUCCAGAGCUGACUCAUUAGACGAGGUUGACUUCAAUCUUUUCAGAUCCUGCUUGGGAGGAGGGCUAAGGGGCACCGCAGGUGAUGGCAGAAACAGUUGCUUCGUCUGUUGUACCGAAUAGGUUGGGAACGUGGUUUUUGGAUCAUGUGCCCCUCUCUUCCUGUUGCGAUCAACCUCAGUCAUUGCUACAUCUCCGUCUCGCUGAUCACGUUCCUGGUGAUGUUGAUCAUCAAACGAGUCUGCACUAUUGGGCGAUCGUCCUCUUCCUCUUCCCCCACGGCCUCUGCCGCGACCUCUCCCUGCAUUGCUGCUCUCGCCUUGAUAUCUUUGAAGACCAGAGUCUUUGGGGCAUGAACCCCGUCCCCGCACUCUUUGUGUUGGUGACCUAGAUGUCCACAAACUGCACACCAGUCCGGCAGUCUUUCAUAUUUGACUCUAAAGAUGACUCGUUCCACCGAAUCCUUUUUCCUUAUUACCAGUGAAACAACGUUCUUCAAAGGUUUAGUGACAUCGAUCCUGACUCAAACUCUAGCAAAGUUACCUUCAAAAUCCGGGGAUCUAGGCUCUGCAUAUAUGAAUUCUCCCAUAGUAGCAGACAUAGCUUUGACCUUAGAAAAGAAGCCAUCGGGCAGGUCGUGAAUCUGGAUCCAAAUUUCCAAUUUGUUGAGCUCUAUAGACGACGGCUUUGUGAAGCCAUCAUACUCUGCCAGAACUACUGCUUUCCCCUUGAAAUUCCAGGGGCCAUCUCCCAUAACCCUCUCCCAGUCACCCAGGCACGAGAAUUGCAUUGAGUACAGAUUAUCUUCCAGUGGUCUGAUCUUUACCUCUUGAGCUAGGUCCCAGGCCACUCUCAUAUUCCUAUAAAACCAAUAUUGGCUGUAUGUUUUCUCCGUGUGAACCCUAGCCAACGCCAUCCAGCGUGUUUCUUCCUUCGGCAGCUCGGUGUCUUCCACCACAACAUCAAUCAGAUCAUCUUCUUUCAGUCCAAGUUCCUCCAUCAUCGCAGCCAGAUUGGACGCAGUUGUACUUGAUCCAGAUGCAGUCGAACUCAUCAUGCGCUCGCUCGAGGUUAGGGUUCCGCGAGCGGUAGGUCCCAAGGAGUCACCACCCGCCCAGAACGCCGCGGCGGCCGAAGGCCACAGCGAUCGCCGGAAGGGGGUUAACAUCCGGGGAGGAAAAGUCCCUACGGUGUCGGCGUCGCCGUCGCUCGAGGGAAGAGAAAAACCCUAACGAGAGGGGAAACUUAGGAGGGAGAUUAGUGUUAUCGGUACCUGCCGCCCACACUACUUUAGAUAGCUAAUUGUAACUGGGCUGGCCCAUAUGUGUGAGCCCUCCUCCAUUACCGGUUGUGAAGGAAUUUCCUAUUCAACGCUUAUACCAUUUGUUAUAGUGUUUUCCUUUUGUUACAGUGUUAUCCGGGGACCUCCUACUUGGUCACCUGCGCGCAAAGUAGGAGGGAACGUGCACCCUUGGCUCCCAUGUAAGAGUUUUUCCCGCCCUAUUUUUAUUAUUUCAUUUUUAUGCCUUUUGUUUUUUCAUUUCUGUUUGUGUUUUUCUUCUUUAAAUAAUGUGUGGUUAAAAAAAUUCCCAAUUUCAAAACAAUACCAAAAUUGUUUGACAAAUCAGGAAAUAUUUGUGAAUUAAAAAUUGUUGAUGACUCUUCACUUCAGUGUCUCGACCCACCGGAACAAAAGCCGUGUGUACAAAUUGUGUUCGAAGCUUAUCGUAAACUGGCUUAGCAAGUGUAGUCUUGCCAAGUCUGCCUGGUCCAACAAUUGAGACCAUCUUCAUCUUGUGCUGCUGUUGCUUGAGACCAUGUGUGAGCCUCUUGGUUAGCUUGUUCCAUGCAUCUUCAAUGCCAACGAGCUCUUUCUGAUCAUUGUACAAAGCCAAUACACGAGGGUCAACCUUCUGUUUGCUAGCUGGAUUAGGAACAUCAUUGACCCUGUAUCUGGCACGCCGGCCAGCCAUCUCUUGAGAGCGGUUCUUGAUGUACCUGAUUGCAUCUCCGAUCUGAUGGCGAGUCUUGCCUUUUGUGAACAAGUUGGCCAUCUUCCCUACCUAUCAUUUGAUCAUGUUUGAGUUGGGGACGGCAUCAGAUUCAUAUCCCUCGACGGACACUAGGAAGUUAUCGAUGACAUCCUCCAUGUCAUACGACAGCUCCCUUUUAGGGAUUCAUGUCCCUUGGAAUCUCCGCCACCUUUACGAGGGCAGCGUUCAAGCUCUUCAUGUCCCUCUGGAGGGACUCGACGUACCGAAUAAAUGGGAGUUAGAGGACAGGAAUCUGUUGUAGGAAAGACAAAGGAAAUUGUUCUCCAUCGCCGUCCGGUUCCACUGGGAAAAAAUUACAUCCACUGCAACACCAAGACCGCAUGCUUACCGAGUAGUAGUAGAAGCAGCAGAGCUGAGUAAGGCACCCACUACCGAAUGCAGGGAUAAAUCCAGCACCAAGUAAGCAGCUCACAAGUGAGAGACGGCAUGCGCUUUGCGAACGGAAGGACAGGAGCAGAAAACAUUUUGGGAGAAAGAUCGACGUGGCUCAGAAAAUUGAAGGCGGUCUACUCCUCCUGAUUGAAGCCGGCGACUACACAAGCGCCAUGGUUUGAUGGAGCAAGAGAAAUGGUGUUGAACCCCCAACUCGUUCCAUUUCUAGCAGAAAAGUAGGGCAAUAAUUGAGUGGUGGUAUGUUAUUAGUGCUGGUAAUGGAGUAGGAAGCACCCUAGAAGUGCACCAACUAGUACAUCAAAAUACUCCUGCCAGUGGCGGUGGUAGAUCAUUCAUGUGUACUACUCGAUCGUAACAAGAACAAUUACAUGAACCAGCUUGUGCCACUAGUAAUAAUAUUUAGCUUAUUUUUACAUUAAGUUUUGCAAUGAAUAAUAUUUAGGUUAUUAAAAAGACUAUAGUUUAAUGGAUGGCCCAGAUUUGGAAAUAUUACUGCAGAUUUUUGGUAGUAAUAGACUUGCUUCACUUGUCGAUUUAUAUGAUCUGUCGCUUUCAGCGACGUUUGGGGCUGUGAUUUGGGUUUGUUGUCAUUGAAAUUGCACAACUAUAGAAACUGGAUUCUUUUUUAUUAUUAUAGUGAGCACAAGGAAUCAUGUUACUAGUUGAAUUCAUAGAAAAAGACUCCAUUCAGACUCUGUCCUGCUCCAUGAAAAUAUCCUAUCAGAUAGACGCAGAGCGGUACAUAUACAGACUCAGGUUUCUUGAAAUCUAAUGCAACCAAGUCUUGUACAAUGGUCACAUGUUAUGUGACCUGAACCAAUUAUGGGUUUGCACUUGAUAAUUCCCGCACGAACCACAUGUAAACAUGGUUCGAAGGCUUGAAUAACAAUGUAAAAUUGAUGUCAAGUUUUCCCGACUUGAUUCCUGUCUAGGUUGGAGUCAUCAGUCUACUUGAAGCACUCGUUUUUCUCAUCUACGUUGGAGGACUGAUUGGAGCAUGAAUUAGUUGAGGAGAUAGAAACCCAUUUUUGGCGAGGGAGAGGACAGAAACCCAUGACACAACAAGGUUUUCAUGAUCAUCAUUGGCUAACUUCAAAGUUCCAACAGAGUGCCAACUACCAAGUGAGUAGCAGUACAAGGCACUGUUCAGCUGAAUCAAUCUUUACAACAUUAACCUAUCAUUCACUGGCGUUUCAUACCCAGAAUUGACUCUUAUAACAGUACAGAAGCAAACCCCUACUUCGAGUCAGUGUUGCUCUGUACUUUUUUUAACGGAGGUUAUAACUACGGCCUCUUUAUUUAUUAUUCAGCGGCCAUCUUUAUUUAUUAUUCCACCAAAGUCUAACAAAAACAUACAUCAAGCUACUCGAAGACAUCACUCACACCUACAAAACUCGAAAAUGUAGAGUGCUCUCACACUCCUCAUAUCUAAACCGGUAUCGUCGCUGAUCCAUCCACAUAACGUGUCGGAACGAACAGCCAGUGCAGCAGACCUAAAGCGCACACCACAUGCACAUGUUUUAGACGCCGCCAUCAUCUGCAGACCGCUGACCCAUCUUCAGGAGAGAGAUCCACAUCAUCCUUGCCAGUCCGUCCAUCCAGUCCCUCCCUCCUCUCGGCCUCCCUAUUAUCCCUCCUCACCCUCUGCUGCUGAUCUGUGGCGGCCUCUCCAAUAGCUCUGUGGCCUUCUUUCGCUGCCGCACCGGCCCGAGCGUUGUCGCUUGCAAGCCGUCCGGAGGCCACAAUGGCGCUCUCCCGUCGGGACUUUGCCACAUUCCAGCAUAUCAGUUGCUCUGUCAUGGGGAUCUGUCCUGCUCCUAGCCGUGUCUCCCGCGAUGGUGGUAGACCUGACUUGUACUACAAUGUUCUUUGGUCGCACGGCUGGCCACGGCGGUUUGCUCCGUUCCUUUGUAUCUAUGUUGCAGCUUCAAUUGUGUUAUGCAUGUCAUGGAUGUAUUAUAAUUCUGGGAUGCAUGUAAUUGUAUUGCUAUGAAUCUUAAAAUUGCUAGGUGUUCCAUGAACCAAUGAAUAUGCUAGAAAAUAUUACUCUGUCAUAUAUAUGUUAGAAAAUGUUCUCGUCGGGCCGGGUUUCUCUGCCCUAGAGAACAUAUUCUACAUGUUAUAUGCGACAAUGUAGUGAUGAAUAUUUCACCGGAAAUAGUGUAAAUGCAACCAACUCCCCCAUUAGGAGACAGAGUGGAAUAUUGUUUGACGAUAGACUUGGUUUAUGCAUAUUCGACGCACGUUUGAAUUUUUUCUCCCGAGCCACAAGAAAGCUCCUCGCGCGACCGCGUCCGUCCCUCAUGGGCGGCCGGCCGCGCUGUCCAUCCCUCCUUCCCAGCGCUCUCCCCCACCCUCUCUCUCCCCACCGUUGCCGGGGUGCAUCCCCGGGCUCGGCUCGGGCGGCGCCGGCGGUGCGGCCCACGGCUUUCCCCCCUGCGGCAGAUCCUGUGCGGGGCGGCGCUGCUUAAGGAGGUGCUCUCAGGUGGCGAUGGUUCGGCGCUGCGGUGGGCUGGUUCGCCGCUGACUUCGGUGGUCAGAGGCGGAGGAGCUCCGCGGCGGCGCGGGCUGGUGGCGCCCGUUCGGCCCAGAUCUGGGCCGAGGCGGGCCGGCAGCUCCGAUUUGUGGUGUAUCUUCCUGGAAGCGGCGGUGGGGUGUCUGGAUCCUGGGUGGUGGCGGCAUCGUUGCCGGAUUGUGCAGCGUGGCGGUGGAGUCUUUGCGGGAUCGAUCUGAGCCCGGCUAGGCCCGGGUGGCCUGGUUUGCCUCCCGCCUCGGCGUCCGGCUGGCUACCGCGAUGGCGUUGGAGGAACUGGCCUCUGGCGCGGCGUCGGUGGAGGUUGUCCCCUCCCGCUUGGCUGCGGUGCUGCCACCCCCGGCUCCAUGCGUUCUCAUUUUCCGUCCUCUAGGCCUCGCGGUGGUGGCCUUAGUGAGACGGCGUGGGUGGCCUCAAGACCGCGGUGGCGAAGGAGGGUGGGUGGCGUGUUGGGUGGAAGACUCCGGAGCGAUUGGGUAGUGUGCACAAGUGUUAGAAUCCUAAAAGGUAAAUAGUUUCUUAAGAUCUGAAGCAAGUGUUGGAAGAUUCUGCUGCCUCUAGAUACACAACAAAUGUCCACAUGUUGCUUCUUGGAGAAGCCGAGAGAGCCUUGAGCGGAGUGUUUAACCUUAUGUAUGAUAUUCUUAACUACCAUUUGUAUUAAAUGAACCAAUAAACAUUUUAUGUUAAUUGUCUUGACAAAUUUUGCUGUGUGCAGACUUACAUAUUAGUGGCACUACACAAAAAAAGAUGGCUAAGGGGUUUAUGAAGUAGGAUAGAGAUUGGUGAGAAAAUAUGUGCCCUCUCUCUCGUUUGUAAAGAGGUUCAAAUGUUAUGUGUGUAGCUUUUGCUAGUAUUCUCGAAUCGUUGGCCGUGAAUUGUCAAUUGUGUAAAUGUACAUGUGAAUUGUCUUAUGAAAAACAAUGUGCAACUGAGUGAUUAUGCCUGUGUAUUGUGUUCAUGUCUUUCUGUAAAUUUCGUUUGCAUUGCUGGUAACAUACUGAAAUGAAGUGCAUGCAUGCAAUGGUGAAAUGAAUCGGUACGAUCGACUGGCUGGCGGUCCAAACUAGUACACUAUCACUGACCGGUUAGAUUGCGGGUCUAUGAUGAGCAAGUCAUCACAAACCCUGAUCCACUGACAGACCAGCAACUAGUUAGUGAUGAUGAAAUUUGGCCGGUAAGUGUUAUUCGGAUUUGUAGUANNNNNNNNNNNNNNNNNNNNNNNNNNNNNNNNNNNNNNNNNNNNNNNNNNNNNNNNNNNNNNNNNNNNNNNNNNNNNNNNNNNNNNNNNNNNNNNNNNNNNNNNNNNNNNNNNNNNNNNNNNNNNNNNNNNNNNNNNNNNNNNNNNNNNNNNNNNNNNNNNNNNNNNNNNNNNNNNNNNNNNNNNNNNNNNNNNNNNNNNNNNNNNNNNNNNNNNNNNNNNNNNNNNNNNNNNNNNNNNNNNNNNNNNNNNNNNNNNNNNNNNNNNNNNNNNNNNNNNNNNNNNNNNNNNNNNNNNNNNNNNNNNNNNNNNNNNNNNNNNNCUCGGGUUUCUGCCCCUUUAUGAUAUAUGAGAAAACUGAACGAUUCAGGUGAAACUAGUCAUGAUAAUAAUUAGCAAUUCUAGUAUUUUAACACACAUAUCCCAAUCACUAUAGUUUUUUCAAACGACUAUUUUAACAACGCAUCUACGAUUCAUAGUAAAAUGUGACAUUGUAUACUGUAAAAUUUCUACAAUCUACAAGGUCAAAUUUAUUGUAAAUGUGACCACAACACCAGAUACACUAGAAAUAAAGUAAAACCCUAAAAGUCCCAUGCUAGCUAGACUACUCUUGGUUGGCUAGAAAUUAGGAGGGAGUACCCAGAUGCCAGUUUGAGCACGAGCUGCUACAUAAGAUCCCGCUGAUUUGAUCCUCUGUGUGACAUUGUCGCUACUUUCAUCUUGCAUAGGAUAUACACGGUUACCAUUGCCAUCAAAACUUGCCAAGUAUGUCAUAUCAUCAGCGUAGAUGUGGUUUCUCUGCACCCUGUCGCGCCCAACCACCGGCACGUCAACCGCCCUGGACAUUUUCCCCAAAAAUAAGGCGGAGUCACCCAAGGUCCUUACUUCCUCCCACUUACGAGCAUACUUUGUCAUCGAGUCAUCAUCCAACACAUAAACCUUGAAGAAAGGCUCAGGGCCGGUGUGGUAUGAUGGGAAUUUCCCCAGUACCAUCGCUAGCUUCCCUUGCAGCUCAACAAUGUGAGUCGACCAUGUGAAAGGUUCACUAACAAUCUUGAUAUGCAACUCGGCGUCAAUGGCGAGCAGAGGCCUGCCAUAUUUGUUCGCGCCUAUGUUGAAUUUGAUCAGGUCAUUGGAGAAUAUUAUAUUAAUGUCAAUUUAAUAUUAUACUAUGUGUCGUCAAUUUAAAAGGCUCCUGCCGUCAUGCCUUUGAGUAUUAUAUUAAUGUCAAAUUGUUUAAAUGCUAGUAAUUAGUUAACUUAGAAGCAAACUGUUUAUUGAUAAAAUGCUAUAGUAUAAUUAAGGGAGUUUUUUUUUUGAAAAAUAAUAAUGUUAGAUAUAUGCUGAUGCAACAAGGGCAUGAUUUUAUUUGUUAGCAAUACUAAUAAAAAAGUUCAUAGAAAAUAAUUUUAUACUCCCGAGGGUUAUACACAUAGUUUAAUUUGUUAAUUGUUAAAAAGUUAGCUAUACAACUAGCUAUAUAUUUGUAAAUACUAAUUAGUAGUGUAAAAAAGCAGGAACGAGCACCCGCCUAUGAUACCUUGAUUUACCAACACAAAACGUGCAUCUUGUGUGUAUGAUUGUGAAAUGCACGUUGUGUGUGGAGUUUGACAUCUAAUUUUUAACCCGCUGUUGGUCUUUCAUAUAGAGGAAUGUCUCGCUGUGCUUCCACGAGUCCCUGUAGUUCGCUACGGCUCAGAAACACAGUGUUCGGACGUCAGAUACACUAAAGUUGCACUAUGACAACCAUUGUACAAUCCAGCCCGCCUCAGUUAUAUUAAUAAAAAUAUCGAUCCGAGAACUUUAUCAUGUAUCUGGUUGCGACAGACGCAUAUACGUUCGAGAAAAAGGAGAUAAAUGGUCCUGCGAAGGUAAGGUGGCAGCUAUCGGUGUUCUAGUACACAAGACAACCGAACGCUACACACAGUACUACAAGUCAGUAAUAAAUAGAGUCUGGCGACUACUAGGCUGGCAUGACAGUGCUGUCGAGCGACUCGCCGAUGUGUAUGGCAAUGUGGAAAAUGCAUCCCAUUACUUCUCAUCUCCGCUCCUCUUUGCUCGGUUUGUCCAAGAAGCGGAACACACCACUCAUGUCGGCCUACAUGGCAUAACAUGCUCGUGGAGAAACUAUGNNNNNNNNNNNNNNNNNNNNNNNNNNNNNNNNNNNNNNNNNNNNNNNNNNNNNNNNNNNNNNNNNNNNNNNNNNNNNNNNNNNNNNNNNNNNNNNNNNNNNNNNNNNNNNNNNNNNNNNNNNNNNNNNNNNNNNNNNNNNNNNNNNNNNNNNNNNNNNNNNNNNNNNNNNNNNNNNNNNNNNNNNNNNNNNNNNNNNNNNNNNNNNNNNNNNNNNNNNNNNNNNNNNNNNNNNNNNNNNNNNNNNNNNNNNNNNNNNAAGACGAUGAAAAUUGAGUAAACACAAAAGUAAAGUAGCCGGUCUCAUUAUCAUUAGAAGACGAUGGCAACUACUGCAUGCACCCAUACAUUCUUGGAUCGCUAUAUUUGGCUUAUUCGGUCACAAACCGACGACUUUGCAGCUGCUACAUAAACAACGCUACUCUGGAUCUUAGGGAAAAAUGUUUGGAGACGGAUAUUGAUAAAGGAAACCGAGGAGAGUUGGUGAUGUGAGUCUACUCCAUCGUGCAUGCUACCUACAUGGACAAGCACAUCCGACCUGGCACAGCCUCGAGUUUCAUUAUCCCCUCUUGAUCCCUCUGAUGUUUCCUCUUUCUCUUCAUCAUCAUCUUCACAUCCCUCAAUGUGCACGUUUUUGUGCCUCGAUUUGAUUGGUUCAACUACUUGCUGGCUAUCCUCAGAGUGGUCAAUUUUUUUGGUGUUCGCGAGGAGUCACCAGUACAAGCAUGGUACUGAUAUGUCAUACAUGACCGUGGCAUUUGUACUUGUAGUUUCCUUUCAUUUUUCAUUUUCCUUUUUAAACGCAUACUGUACUUUCUUUACUACACGAUAAUUAAUAUACACUGCACAUUUUUGUAGUAUACGUCAAACAAAUUUUUUAAUUGUAUGAAAACAUAUUUUAUAUUCACACUAUUUUAAAAAAAUAUAGUGAAUAUUUCUAAAUACAUCUAUAAUUUUUUAAUACACAAUGGACAAUUUUUUCAUGUACACAUAACACUUUUUAGUAUAUGAGGAACAUUUGAAAUAUACGGCGAACAUUUUCUAUAUACCCACUAAUAUUUUUAUAAAUGCUGAACAUUUUAAAAGUACACGUUCAUUUUUGUGUUUUCACAAACCAUAGAAAACCAAGAAACUGAAGUAAAAUGAAUAAACGAAAAAAAACAGUACCGGACAGCUCCGUCGCUGCAAAAAUAGGUCUGCACGUCUUAGUGGGCCUACCCAUUCAGAGUCACCUAUGCGUAUCCUCAACUUUUUCGACAACGGGUGCCUUUUAUUUACUUAUAAUGUUGCAUCGAGGGAUACAAUCAUAACAAGCACACACCCAAACUAUGUAUAACUAGCAUACACACUGCGAACACACAUAAAAAAUCACACUGGCAAAUAACAAAGUCAAAUAAGACAAGAACUAUGGCUAGACACAUACAGAAAACGAAGGAAAGAAGAAGAAAUCCCGAGGCGACCAAAAGAGCAUACGUGAGUGAUCAUAUGUGCCAACCAUCUGAACUACUGCGUCAACUAGGAGGUCUCGCUUCUAAGGCCAUCAAUAAUAUUAACGAUGGUUCCAUAUAAAAAAAGAAUAUUAACGGUGGUAGCAGGUGCGAGAUCUUAAAUUAUCAUUUUUUAAGGCCGCUCCAUCGUUUUUGUUCUGCACAAGUGGCUCCCCUAGCCGUAACCCCACCCACUGGUUAUGUAGUUCUUUAAGAGAAAAUCGAUGACACAUGCAAGCAACAAUUUUGUAUCUUCUGUCAUUUGUUUAUACUAUGCCAUCACGAGGAGAUUGCACUUAAAAAGACAAAUUGCAUAUAGGAUAGUUAAAAAAGGGUUGUUUUCUGUCGUGGAAAGGUUGAUUCUAGUAUGAGUAUUCUCUUGGUAUCCGUUCCUUCAUGGAGAAGAGAAGGUGAUUUUCUCUCGCCGCCCCGUCAAUUGAAAUUAUACAUGUUCAAUGAUGACAUGAAGGUUAAUUUCACACCACUCAUUCAUUGUGCUUGCCUUGAGUUCCCUUCAAGGAUAUACCGUGGCAUUCCCGCCUCAAAGAGCUUUUUCAAACCCCUUUCUCAAGAUGCACAACUCAGUCAUUGUUAUCUUGUGUAGACGGGUUCAUCCAACAGGGUAUAAGAUAACACGAUGGACUGAACUGAAGAGAAAAGAAAAAAAAAAUCAUCUACUAAGCCUUAAGCAUUAAACAAGCUUGGAGUGUUGGUCAGCGUGCGACAUCAUUCAAGAAUUUUGUGGACCUACGCUGACCCAAUGAACUUGUGCCCUAUCCCUUGAAGAAAUAUCUCAUCAAUUAUGAAUAAAAAUGUUUGAAGCAUAGAAGUACUCAUGUUUUGACAACAAUACGACCCAUUGUCAUAAACUCAUAAUAUCCCCAAUUUUUACUCAUGAAAAUCAUGUUUGCAUCCCUUUUUGACUCGUUACAUUGCAAUUGUGUCCCAAUUAGAUAACAAUAACACUAAUGAUUGAGCUUGCCAUUGGUAUUCAGUUAUGUGUACACACACAUCACCUUAUGGGUAUUUCACACGAGAAGAAAAUUAGAGGCGAUUUAUUUGCAACUAACAGGCGCUUGCCGCCUCCCAUUGGCUCGCUGCUUGCCAACAAGCAUUCGAUUCCAUUCAACUGAAUUUAAGAAAAAUGGUCAGCAUGUUGGCGCUGUACUGUGUUGGGUUCGUUGAUUGCAUCCAUAUAUAUAAGCAGUCCAUUCCAUUCAACUCAAUUCAUCAACUGCAUCCAUAAUAAAUAUCAAAAAUUCCCCAUGGCACACAACGUGAUUUGCUUGCUUCUUGAUCGGAUUAUCAAACACCGGAGGGGUGUCUUCCUGUGUGAGGGUGGCCGAAACAAACUCGGCAAUUGCAGACGCUCUGAACUCGCCAUCUGCAAUACACACAGUACAUUGUUAGCCAAUUUAACAGUCAAACCAACUCGGUACAUAGAAAUGGAAAGGAGAAGCUAAAACAAGUUUACCAUAUACUGUUAACUUCGCCUCUUUUUUCUUGAGCAGGACUAGUGAUGGGCGCUUUGCUUGCGGGUCAACAUGGAAAAGCUUGGCUAUAUCAGGACUGGUAGUCUGGUAGAUGUUGACAGCCCGGUACAAGCUGUUGAAAUCUUCCAGCCUUGAGGCAGCAGCAAGCUCUUCGGUGUGAGCACCCUAUAGCAUUUGUUGAUAAGAGUAAUCAAUUUUGGGCCACAUGUGCGGUGCAAUUGCAGCAAUUCGGUUGGAUGGUAGACUUUGCUGGGAUUGGAACGUACCGAAAGGGAGUCGAGGAAAGCUAGCACGGCUACUUUGCCGCCGGUGAUGAUCUUCUCGGCCUCGUCGAUGGUGGUGACGUUCUGCACCUCAGGGCCCAGCCUCUGGGAUAUCCAAGUGACCAUGGCGUCCCUGCAGCAGUGGAAAAUUCGCCACCAUGAGGGAUGAAAUAUAAGACCGUUUAGAUCACCAAAGUAAUCUAAACCACGAACAAAAAAUAAGAACAAAAAAUUUGAAUGGAACAUUUCCUGAAAUUCACAAACAUUUCUUAAAAACAUGAAUCUUUCUAAACCACGAACAUUUUUUAAGUUGUCAACAAGAACAUGUUUUGAAGAUUCAGAAGAGUUGUAGUAAUUUUUUUCUUUAAUGCAAACAUUAUUUUCAAUUUUUGAACAUAUUGUGAAAACAACAAUAUUUUUAGAAUUUGGAAUAUUUUCAAAAUGCAUUUUUCUAAAUAUUGUUUUUUAAAUACAGUUAUUUUUUAACAAAUGGCAAUAUUUUUUAAAUUUUGAAAUACAUUUGGCAGAACUAAAAAAAUUCCAAACAUUUUUAGAAUAGGAACACAUUUAUGUAAUUCGUAUAUUUUUAUGAAUUCUUGAAUAAAAAUGAAAUUGCGAUAUUUUCCGAAAAUUUUGAAUUUCAGAAAAUACGUAGAAAAUAGACUUAGAAUGUGAAAAGUAAAAAAUAAAUACGAAACAAAAAGAGAACUAAGCAGAAAAAUAAAAAUGGAAACCGAACACAAGCAUAAAUCGGCCGCUGAGUUUUGGGCGCCUUGUGCGUACCUGAAACUAUUUACCGCCUUGUGCGGGAAAUAGGAUUUUUUGUUGCUACAUGGGCAGGAAAAAAUGGGCUGAAUUUACGGGGCCAUAGUGCGCGCGGCCCAUGUACGAAAUUUUGCACAAAUUGUUUUUCCUUUGCUAAUAGACGAACAUAGAAAGUUUAGUACCACCUCGGAAAGAAAAACAAUAAUUUUUUGGCGGUGAACGGAUAAAAAAAUCGGAGAAACGCACCUUGCUUUAUUAGUAGGUAUAUAUAGAUAUUGAUAUAGAUAUAGAUUGCUCAAGGUGAAAAGCUAAGGCUAUCCUCUUAAGAAAAAAAACGAAGUUAUCUUCCUCGAAAGAAAAACAAAACUAUGUUAUAUAUCCUCCUCUCAAUCAACAAAAUCACCUCUCCUCGAGCAAGCCAACUCUGACUGCACCAUGGGUAAACGUCAAGAUCCCUCCGAACGAUACACGAGAACCGUCUCGGCCACUGCCAAACAAUUGGCCACAAGCUUCGACAACAUAGCAGCUUGGAUUUUGCCGAUGAACUUUGCUGGGGAAAAUUGUAAGCCUCGCACCGAUCUAGUCCAGCGCAAUCUCUGGAGAGCAGCGUCCACUGAAACCAUCUUCAUGGAGUCAUCGUUUCCGCAGGCGCCCCUCCACACACAGCUUCAUCUUCUUUGUUACAACAAGAAACAAGCAUAGGCACACCCAUUGGCACACCCGACUGUCAAAUUCAGAAGGGCCAACCACGACCUAGCUCCGCUCGCCACCAUUGUCGUCGCCACGAGUGCCAACACCAACUACUCGCAUCAUCAGCUGUGCACCAUCCAACCGUGAGAAUGUGCAUAUCCAACCCAGGAAAAGUGUGGAGGGGAACAAAUCUUCAAGACGGCGCCCUAAGUGGGGAGCGAUGCAGAAAUAACAAUGUUGUCCGACCCUGCAACAGGGACCUUAGGCUUUUACUGAAGACAUCCCAAGGGUGACCAAGAUGGAAGAGCUGCACGGCGACCCUCCAAGAAGGAAUAACGACACUAGCAACCGCCACAUCAUCAUUGAUGGCAUAAUCCAGGCAAGCCUUUGCCCCGGAGGAACAAACGUGCACAUACACCCCCACUAGACAAAAUACUGCCUUACCUAUAGACAAAUCAGUUCUUUUUUGGGCGAGAUAAGCCCAAAGUAAUCUGUGCAAAUAUUCUCUGUAAAUUCAAAAUCUAUGUGUAUUAUAUGUAGUUAAUCAACAUUUUACCGCCCAAAUUAGAAUCCUAGCCACUUUAUACCUCGAACUUUCAUUAAAUGUGUCUAGACUUACGUAUUGAGUGCACCAUGCAUGCUGCCAAGCCAACCCGCGUUGAAUCGCGCCAUAAAUUUCCUUAAGUUUAAAUUUCCGCUAGGAUUUACCUUGUAAAUAAGUUUCCACCGUUCUUACUAGCACAAAUUUAAAGCUUUGGGGUAAAUCCUUUCUGCAUAAUCCCUGUAAAAAAUGAUAAAAGUAAAGGUACAAAGUAGAAAUUUUAAUAUAUAUCAUCACACAAUCAUAGUACAACCAGCACACACAUACAAUUAUCAUCCAUACAAGCCAGAAAAGUAAGUCAGAACAAUCACAAGAUUUACAUGGGCAUCAUACCCUAAUCUUGAUUGAUCUUGACAUUAUAUAGCACAGAAUGACUUGAUGGUGGUGGGUUACAACACACCACUUAUUUAAUCCAGCAGGCAAUAUAAGUCACGAGUAUACUAUAUCUGGCGCGGUUGAUGUACUCGAACAUCUCAUCCCAGCGGCUCCUCUUGGAUGUGUGCUUCCACAUUUUCCUUUUCCGCUUGUGUCCCAAGUGGUGGUUUUGGUUGUGCAUUCGGGUCCGGCAGUCCAGGCAGUGGUUGUGGGUUUGGGUCUGGUAAUGGUUGUGGGUUUGGAUCAGGCUGCGGUCCUGGUAAUGGCUGAGGGUUUGGGUUUGGUUGUGGGUCCGGCAAUGGUUUUGGGUUUGGGUCUGGUAAUGGUUGUGGGUUUGGAUCAGGCUGAGGUCCUGGUAAUGGUUGAGGGUUUGGGUUUGGCUGUGGGUU